Molecule: long non-coding RNA, 79333 nt
Filed under: Theobroma cacao (cacao)
Lineage: Eukaryota; Viridiplantae; Streptophyta; Magnoliopsida; Malvales; Malvaceae
Description: long non-coding RNA (TCAC_LNC002752)
Source: RNAcentral
CUCAUGUUGUUCGGAUGGCUUGGUGAUGGGGGCUAGUUUUAUGGCUUCCCCAUUGGAGGGUGUCCUGGAUAGUGACCAUAAGGUGGCUCAUACACCGGUGGUUUCUUAGGAGGUUCAUAUACUGGUGGCUUCUUCGGAGGUUCGUAAACCGGUGGUUUGGGCUCUGGCUUCUCUUUCUUCGGAGGUUCAUAAACUGGUGGUUUUGGUGGCUUAGGUUCAUAUACUGGUGGUUUUGGUGGCUUAGGUUCAUACACUGGAGGCUUCUUUGGAGGCUCAUAUACUGGUGGUUUGGGUUCUGGCUUCUCUUUCUUUGGAGGUUCAUAAACUGGUGGCUUUGGUGGCUUAGGCUCAUAAACUGGUGGCUUUGGUGGCUUAGGUUCAUAUACUGGUGGUUUCUUUGGAGGCUCAUACACCGGAGGCUUCUUUGGAGGCUCAUAAACUGGUGGCUUUGGUGGCUUAGGUUCAUAAACUGGUGGCUUAGGUUCAUAUACUGGUGGCUUUGGUGGCUUAGGCUCAUAAACUGGUGGCUUUGGUGGCUUAGGUUCAUAAACUGGCGGUUUCUUUGGAGGCUCAUACACCGGAGGCUUCUUUGGAGGCUCAUAUACUGGUGGUUUGGGUUCUGGCUUUGGAGGCUUAGGUUCAUAUACUGGUGGUUUCUUUGGAGGCUCAUAAACUGGUGGCUUUGGUGGCUUAGGCUCAUAAACUGGUGGCUUUGGAGGCUUAGGUUCAUAAACUGGCGGUUUCUUUGGAGGCUCAUACACCGGUGGUUUCUUGGGAGGUUCAUAAACUGGUGGUUUGGGUUCUGGCUUUUCCUUCUUUGGAGGUUCGUAAACCGGUGGCUUGGGCUCCGGCUUCUCCUUCUUUGGGGGUUCAUAGACAGGGGGUUGGGGUUCUGGCUUCUUUGGAGGUUCGUAAACUGGUGGUGGUUUGUAAAUUGGGGGUGGCUUCACCUCGGGAGGUUUGUAAACAGGAGUAGGUGGUUUCCCAUAGCCGGGUAACUCGUAGGUACCAAGGGAGGGAGUGGCGAGAACCACCACUCCCAGGAGCAGUACUAGUAAGUGUGUAAGAGACAUCUUGGAGCUCUGGCUUUCGAUAGGGCAACUCGAAGCCCUCCUUUUAUAGUGGUAAAGGAGCCUUUUGGUUAGUCCAGGUGUCAAAAUUUCUCUCGUUUCAUACCUUACGAAAUAGUGAGCUAGCUAGAUUUGUAAAUAUUUGAGUAAUUCAUAAAUGUGAUAGGGUCCAUUUGGGUCCCACUUAGUCGAAAUUUUGGACUAUGAAUUACAAGGCCUUAUUCAUGAUUGAAGAAGAUUGGCAGUGUGGCUAUUAAAGAAGAUUGGCAGUGUGGUUCUUUUGGCGGUGACUAUUCCUUCUCUUUCCAUAAAGUAAUAGUUAGCGUCACUCUUUUCAUCUUUUUCAUUUAUGAAACAUGCUUUUUCUUUUCCUGCUAAAAGAAGCAAUAGAAUGGCACGAAAUUCUCCUUUAUAUCUGCUCAGCAACUCUUUCCUAACAAAUAUAAGAAGCUCAAGGCGUGAAAAUAUCUCAAGAGACUGAAAGUGAAGAGCGUUUCUAUAAACAAUGCCUCAGGAUAAAGUUGCAAAAAAAUUGCAGGACUGCACAUCUUCUAGUAUCACAAUAGGUGUUCAUCAAGGAAAACUUUUUACUCCAAUUGGUAUGAUAUUUACUGUUUUCAUGUCCUGUAAAGUCUUGGUUGCUACAAUAAAUAUAGUAGAAGUGUUUGAUGACAGCAAAUUUCCUUCUGGACUGCAAACAUUGUUACUAAUUUCAAAUGUAAUGCCACAGCUAUAAAAAAUAAAAAUAAAAUAAAAAAAGCGAAGCCCAGAUGAGAAGGUUGGUACCUUCCGCUUGCAUGUUCUAAGUUUUGCUUGAGGGAGAUUAUUUUGGCUAAAAUCUAACAACAUUGUUGCCAAAAGGCAACUUCAUUAUUGGUGGAAGCCUUUGCAGUCCUGUUGGGAAAUUUACACGAAUGCAGCACUCACCUCUUUGCUUGUUUCCAUAGUUAACAACAAGUGAGCUUAUUUGUCGGUAUUGACUUUUAUGAUGCAUACCCUUUUUCUCUUUCUAUAUUUUGUUUUCAGUUACCUAAUUCCUUAUAGUUGGCACUAGGUUUUUUUUAAAUUCAACGAGUUUUUGCAUCUAAUGGUCUUUUAUUGACUUUUAGAAGCAAUAUUUUAACCUUCCUGUUGAUUGUACCUUAGUUGAACUAAGUUCCAGAAAGACAGCUUUCUUUCACUAUCAGUGUAUGGAUAGCUUAGCAAUUUAGUCUUAUGGAUUCAUUAUUACCCUUGCACUAAAGCCGCAGGCAAAUUACUGAAAGACUAAUCAUAGAUCUUUUUCUGCUAAUUAAGGUAUUUGAGUGGUUCUAUUAUGGAGAGAAAUUAAUUUACUCUGUAAGUGAGGCUAUAUUGAAGAGAAUCUGAACUGUUUACAACUACUUUGUUCUCCAUAAGAAUUUUGGCUGCAACGUUUGACAAUUAUUGUUGUUAUUGCCUUUAUUCUCAUGACAGAGCGCUUUAGGCAGGACAAUCUGGUUCAUGAACACUGCUCAUAAUUAGAUUUUAAUUCCCAAUCCUAAAUUGCAUGUUAAUAGCAUUAUGAAGUAUGUCAUAAAUUUUGCACAAUACUUUAAACUCGGAAAGAGAGUAUUUGGACUUGGGAUCUCUUCCUGGAAGUACGGCCUGGUCACCAUGAAGCUUCCAGAAAUUUGUUUUCUACACGCAACACUGGAUUUGGUAUAACUAAUUGUGAGGAAAUAUGAGCUCUUAAAGCAGAUGAACAGUUCUGUGAAUCGGCUUAAUUAAUUUUCAUGAAUUCGGGCAGCCUAAGGCUUAUUCCAAACAAUUUAGAUGAAGAGUUCGACCAGAGUAAAGAAAUAUUUCAUUAUGUACCAUCUUGUCCUGUAAUUAGGUGAUUAUCAUAUGAAUUAUAAAUUUAUAAUCACUUUCCUGAGUCGAAAUUCAGCAGAUUUCUUUUGUAGUUUCCCCCCACUCAUCUACAGGUUAUUUUAUCAAAAAACCUGCUGGUUUUUUUUUAAAUUAAAAAAACCUGCAGGUUCUGUGCUGCUAUGUGCUGGCAGAAGAAAAAGCUUAAUGGCGAUAGAACAACAGUCAGUGAGAAAGACUGGCAUUUUGCAAAACCGACAUGCUGCAUAAUAGGCCUAGCUUACCUACCGUCCUUUUGAUAAAAUUGUACUCGUUAUAAAAUUAGAUGAACUUUCAAUUCGUAGCUUAUCCAAUUAGUACGUAACACAAUGUUUGAAAUACAUGAUUGAUCAUGAAUGCCAAUAUUAUUGCUUUUUGAUUUUUGCAACUCUGGCAAUGGAUCUUUCCACCAACCAAUCUCCAUGCACGAAAACGCAACAAAAAUCUUGAACUUAGUGGUUCAGUUGAAGUCAAAAAGCCAAAAGAAAGGGAUGAGAGGGGGGAUUGAAACAAAGAAAGCGAAAAGAGAAACAGACCAUGACUGGAGAGGAAAUAUGAAUAUAGGUGGGAAUAAAUAAGUAUUCAUGGAAAUCAACUGCAUGCAGUAACAAAGUGGCUUGUGAGGCUCUUCAGCUUUCUCCAUUAUUGGAGGGUGUCCAGGGUAGUUUCCAUAGGGUGGAGAUGGUUUGGGCGAGGGUAGAGUUCUUGGCUUAUGCUCAGGAGCCGGGGUAUGAGGUUUGGGCAUUGUGGCUGGCUUUUCAACGGCUUGUCCACCUGUGGUGCUGGUCCUUUUUUUGGAGGUAGAGUUGGUGCAAUGGGUGGUUUUGGUCCUAACUCUAGGAGGUAGAUCGAGUUAGUGGAUUGUGCUCAGGAUUUAGCUUUUCUGCUUUAGGAGGCUUUCGAACUCGGGUUCCUGCCUCGUGCUUGGCACUGGCUUCUUAGUUGGGGGAUCCAGGUGGCCUGGAAUGGGUGGUUUGCGCUCAUAUUGAGGUGGCUUUGCGUAAUCAGCUAAACAGGGUGCGCUAAGACUAAAAACCACUGAACCGAUAAACAACAUAAACAAGUAUACAUAGGAGACAUCUUUGUGCUUUGAUGGUAUAAAGAUAAUGGUUCAGAACUUGAAGGAACAUACCAUUUUGUAAUGCUUACCAGCCCUGGAAAGUUGUAUACAUGUUCAAAUUUCGUUCAGUUCGUGUCAUGCACAGAUUACAAAAUAAGUUAAACUAUAUAAUUUGCAGAGCUUAAUUAAGGCGAUAAAAUGGUUCAUUUGUUUCCCAUAGAGAUGAACAUUUAGACAGUUGGGAAAAUCCUGUUCCUAAGAAGGAUGAGGGAGGAAAAGUUCCAACCUCCAGGUUAAAAUCCAUUUUAGUUUCUCUCUCACGAUCUACCGACUUUUGCCCUUUCUUCAUCUGUUUCAACGUUGAUCCAGAUCUCUAGGUGAGCAUUUUGUCAAAGCAGCCAUCAUGGAAAAUGUCAACAGCGCUUGGACAGUAGCAAGGCAUUAUUUUGGCCAAUAAGAACAAAAAAGGUUGGUGCUACAAUUAAGGUAAUUACCGAAGAACUUUUGCUCCUAUUAUUUUUCUUCCGUUUUGUUCGAAUUUCUGUAUGAUUCACUCACUUCAGUCGUUUUCAAGACUGUGAUUUCUUGUAAUUCUAGAUUUUCUUCCAUGGCGUAAUAUUUGACAGUCCGCAUCCGCGUUUCUUGAUUUCCCAUAUAGAUUGCGACAUUGAUGGCCACUUGUCAGUCAUAGGUCGUUGGUACAGUUUCAUCGUGUCAGUCCGUGCCUAUCAUUUCAAUCUAAACAUGCAAAUAAACCCAAAAAAUGAAGAAUAAAAAAAAUAUAACAUAGUUUAUCAGAUAACUUUGGACUUUUAGUAUUGUCAAAGACUUUCGUUACUUGUUGGGAUGAAUUCUGGGUACAAAGUUGUCAAUAUUGGAGGUGUAAACAAGAACUCUCAUUUCCAGACUCAAGGGCUACCUGGAGUAUGUUUCCAGUAACAAACGUGUAGGAGCUUUAAUUUGACAUUGUAGAUGGUGCAAAAUGUGCAGAGAGAACAGAAUCCCAUAGUCUGUAGGUGGAGAUUGAUUGAGAGAGAUACAAAAAUUCUGUAUUUACAAGUCAUAUUUGCUCAUUGACAAAAGAAAAUAAAAUAUUGAACGUGGACUAUUCCCAUAGAAAAGAACCCAUAACUACUCAUCUCUCUUGCCAUAGUCUCUCUCUGUGGUAUGACUCCAUCAAGAUCCAUGAAUUAGUGAUAUCCUUACUUCAUCCUUUAAUUGUGAGGCCAAAAAUAAGACACAUACAACAGGAACCAACACACUGGAGGUGCAGCUGUGUAGUCUACAUGUUCCAGAACCCAGAAGUUUCCUGUCCUGAAAAAUAAGCCAUUUUUUUUUUGUAUCCUUUGACUAAUGUAUGUAAAUAAAAGAAAAUAUAGAUUUGAUAUGUCAGUGCUCUGCAUAUGUAGUUAUCUUCUCGAUCGGAUUUGCUCCUUAUUUUCAAUGGACAAAUGCUGGUAGGUUUUCUGGGUCUAAACUGAAGACUUUAUUCUCCAGACAGGGCAGGUGAAAUUGAAGAAUUAUGUGAGGAAUAUUCUUACUACGAACCGUGGUUUUUCUCCAGGAUUCUACGACCAAGGAAAACAAAUCGUGGUGCCAUAUGUCUCCAUGCAUGUUAUUAUGGGCACAUCAUCUUUCUUAAUUUCUGAUACGACUUACUCACACAUCCAAUGGAGAUGGUUGCCAAAAAUUUGUUUACUCCUAACUGGCUUAUCCUUUUUUACUUUCUUUAUAUUUUUCCCCUAAUAAGUGGUCCAACAACUCCUUAAAUUAUUAUAUCUUCACUUUUUCAUCCAUUCCACCAACUACAUAUAUUUUAAUGUUUUUGUUAUUUAAUUUCUGAUCUUGAAAAAUGACAAAAUUGUUUAAGUUAUUGAUUUAGCCAGCCAUUUAUUGUUUUCUUUAUUGGUGGCCGCAGCCUAUUGGUGUCCACCGACUGCCCCUGGCCAUGCUAGGCCAGGCUCUGGGCCCUUAAGCCCUGCUGGUUAUAAAUAAUUCUAACUUGAACAAACAAUAUUAAGCCUAGGCCCAACUUGAUGAUUAUUUUAUUACGAAAAUAGAUUUUUUUUUUUAUAAUUAAGAGACGAGUAUUUGAAUCUUAUUUUUUAGAGACAGAGAAUAUAUAUUAAUUAAUAAAUUAUAUAUUCUAGUAUUUAUUAUGAAGAUAAUUUUUUUUUUAGUUAGUGGGGUGCGCCAGCCCUGAGCUAUAGUGCAACGCUAGGGCAAUGCGCGAGAGAACCAAUAGCAAGCUACUAUGGUGGACUCUCUCCCUAAAAAAAUUAAUUUAACAUCAUGUGGACUAAUGGCCCAUGAAGAUAGUUAUUUUUGAAAAACAUAAAAAUUUGAUAUGUGAAAUUGAAUUUGUUGGAUCAGAAUUGAAAACCCGAAUAAUUCCGAGUACAAGUUAUUUCGGAUUCAGAUGAUUCGAGUAUGAUAUUCAGAUAUUUUUAUUUAAAUUAUUAACUUUUAAAAUUAUGUUAUAUUUUAUUAAUAGUAAUUAAAUUGUUUAUUAUCACAUUUUUGUUAACUUGUAUCAUACCUUCAACUUUGAUUUUUGAUAUCAUAAAAAAAUUCAAAAUUUUUUUGACUCAUAUAAAAAGGAAAGAAACAAGUGAAAUGAAAGUUAUUAAUUAAUAUAAAAAACAAUAGUUAACUUCUAAAAAAAUUAUAAAUUGUUUUUUAUUGAAUGAUGUUAAUUUUCACUUUCAUUACACAGAUUAUUAUUAGUAAUUCACCGUAAUUAUGGUUCGACUUACAAUUUAAAAUGUCAGUCAUAACUUAUAAAAUAAGGUAUAAUUCUCUCUUUAGUUCCUUUAAAGUUAACGUUUAUUACCUCAAAAUUUAAAAAAUGAAAAAAUAUUUUACGUAAUAAUUAAUGAACGUCAACAACACAAAUUGGUUCAAUUCAAAAUUCAAAACCAGAAAUAGCUUAAACCUAAAAUAACUCGACUCAAAAUUAAUUAAUGAAUAGUUAAAAUACAAUUUCUUUUUAUUUACAGUAUUUAACAUGCAUGCGGAGUUUAGCAUUUUGUGCGGGCCUAAUCCAACUCUUGGAAUUUAAGUGCGUGCAGCCCAUUGUCACAAAAGCACAAAGAACAAACAAGGCAGAGAGUACUUCAUAAAAUAAAAAAGAACAAAAAAAAAAAAAAAAACAAAGAAUUGAAGAUGGGUUAUCAGGAUCAAACUUAUAUGCACAACAAUUCCUUCUCAGCAUCAGGCUUUUCUGUCAGCUUUGGAUCUUAUUUCAUUAUAUGUUGUGAAUUUUGUCUUUACCUUCCCAAAAACUAUUGAUGCUCUGUAGUGAUUCUGGUUCCUUGUAGUAGGGUCUCCCCUGCUUUUUUUUUACAUGAAUAAAUUGUAUUUAUCUGAAAAAACAAAAGAGGGGUUACAGUUUCAGCCAUUGAGGCUUGCUGGGCUGCAAAGAAGCUAUAGAGAGAGAGAGAGUCGAUCAUCAUAUCAAAAAUGUUUAAUACUACAACUAUAGAAGAAAUUAAGACUGUAUAUUACACUAAGUGAAAGCAUAUAUAUAUAUAUAUAGUGACAGUCGUAAAGUACAAAGUUUUCAAACUGCAUGUCCAUGCUCAUUUCCUACGUAGGAAGCUAGUACAUGCACUACAAGCUAAAGGAGUGAACUACGUAAACAUUAAAAACCAACUAUAGCGGGAGUUAUGGACUCAAACCAUUGAACAUAGCUGCUCUUAUUUCUAUGACACUCUCCCAUUCCAUAUAUACUAAACACAACUAGCUACUAGCUGGUAACGCCUAGUUAGCUUGUCGUGGCGGCUUGUGGGGUGGUUCAUCAUGUGGAGGCUCAACGGGCGGUUGGUCAGGAGGCUGGUGGGGUGGUUCAUCAUGUGGAGGCUCAACGGGCGGUUGGUCAGGAGGCUGGUGGGGUGGUUCAUCAUGUGGAGGCCCAACGGGCGGUUGGUCAGGCGGCUGGUGGGGUGGUUCAUCAUGUGGAGGCCCAACGGGCGGUUGGUCAGGCGGCUGGUGGGGUGGUUCAUCAUGUGGAGGCUCAACGGGCGGUUGGUCAGGAGGCUGGUGGGGUGGUUCAUCAUGUGGAGGCCCAACGGGCGGUUGGUCAGGCGGCUGGUGGGGUGGUUCAUCAUGUGGAGGCCCAACGGGCGGUUGGUCAGGCGGCUGGUGGGGUGGUUCAUCAUGUGGAGGCCCAACGGGCGGUUGGUCAGGCGGCCCAAGUGGAGGCUCAUGAGGUGGCUCGUGUGGAGGCACUGGUGGACGCAACUUGCGUGGUGGCUGGAGCACUUCUUUGUUCUCAAGUACUUGCUCUGCCAGAAGGUGUCCCGCGGGGUGAUGACCAUCAUGUGGUGGCUUCUUUCCCUUGCCCUUUGGUGGUUUGUCAAAUGGUUUGCAGGGUGAGCUGUGUAAUUCCUCAACGCAGCCGUCUUCCGAGAGGUGUCGUUGGGGUACUGGCUUAUUAUCACCUGGGCGUAUCGGUGGCUCCUCUUUCUUAGGUGGCAGUGGUUUAUCACCAGGGAUAAACUUUGGUGGUACAUAACCAGGGAGAAUUGGUGGUUUGCGCUCUGGAAAGCGCUCGUCUUCCUCGGGAGGCCCAUUAUAAGCUAGAGAUGGGGAUGGAGUGGUGAGAAGAGCCAUCACUCCAAGUAAAAACAGAAGCAAGUAAGCUUUAGACAUUGUGAUUGGAAAAUCUGUAGCUUGUUUUUGUGGUGAAGAACAUGAACAACUAGCGGCCAUUUAUACUGGAUGGAAUCAUAGCUUUAUCGUCACCACUCAUGUCAUUGAGCAUUUGGCAAGCUAGCUUAGUUUGUAGCUUUAGAUAACUGUUUAAUUAAUUAAAUUACAGAUUUUCAGUUCACAGUUCACAUAGUGCUCAAAAGAAGAGAAGCUCACAAAUUUUAGGUGGUCCAUUUUGGGGUCCCAUCAAAGCUAUUUUCUUGUUUUUCAUUGAGAGAAAACUGAAAACCAAAUUCCUGUCACAUUUAGUCCAUUAAAAUUUAAUUUAUUUUCCUUACUAUAAGCCUGCACCCAAGUGACUCGAUUGACUUCCGUCUAUUUUUAUAAGUUCUGCCUAGGGCUUCUGUUUCUGUGUGUUGGCACGUUGAUUCUGUUCAUAUUUAGCCUUUAAUUUCACUGGAGUGCAAUUCUACUCGAAAUGGUGAAUUAACUUAUCAAACCCCUUUAAAUCACAAUAAAGAGGUGUAGAAUAGGAUAUUGCACCACAGAUUCCAACGUAUAUUCGAUUUUGAUUUUCCUUUUUUUUUAUUUUUGCAUGAAGUAGUCAAAAUUAAAUAGUACUUCAAAAUCAAGUUGAAGAGUUAUUUAAUAAUGUUGCAUAAAUUGUCUAAUGGCAUAUGUUAAAAUUUAGAGUGUUUUUUAUGAUAUCAUUAUAGUGCAAAAUCGAGUCAUAGCUAUGUUUACCUCGACAAUUUGCACAUUAUCACUUAAGAUCACCCACUAACUGAGAUAUUUUCUUAUCUCUUACUUCAAUUCGUUGGAUUCAAUUUCAUGAGAAAAUCACAUUUUUUUAAACGAAAUAAUUAUUGUAUUUUAUUAGAAUCGCUCUAGCAAUGAACACAAAAAUUCAUACACUAUUUUUCAAUUUUUUUUCUAGCCAUACUAUAGCAUUAAAGCUUUAAUUAGAAUAUAUAAUCACUUGGGUCAUUAUAGAUUUUUGUCUUUGGAAUUUUAGCAUCUUUAGGAACAAUUCAACAAGUAAAAAGAAAUUACCUUUUUUUUUGCUGUUUUUUUCAACUAGUUCAGACUUACAACAUGCAUAAUGUUGCUGGGUUUUUUUUUUUUUUUGGUCUUUUUCAUUUCAAUUUACAGCUACUUGACUUUCUCUCUGUUGGAAAGAAACAAAGACAAAACGCCAAAAAAGAAAAAAAAAAAAAAACAGAAGAAAGGAAGGUGGGAAAGUUCUCCUGAGAAUCUGAGGUACUCAAGUCAACUUCAAGGCGUUUGGGGCCAACCAAUGACUCAGAGUCACCGGCCCAGACGUUCGCUAGCGAUCGCUUUUGUCUUGACUCAGAGUCACCGUCCACGUCUCUUAGAACUAUAGUUGAGUUUUUCUUCUAUUUCUACGUACUUCCUCAAAAUUCAACAGGGAAUCGAGGAACGAGCUAGCCAAUGAAUCACUUAUUUUUCUUUGAUUUCAUACUUUAUAUAUAAAAAUGAAACAGUGUAAAUUUGGAAAUGGGUAAGAAAGCAAUAAAUUGAUUAAUUUGAUUAUAUAUGAAACAACAUCAGUUUAAUUUUGGAUUAUUAUAUUUCUAAUUCCCAUCAUUCCCUGGCAGUCAAAGUUGAGAAAAUUUCAUCAGUUCGAUAGGAGCAUUCAGAAGGCAACGAGUGAAAGCUUUGUUUUUUGUCAACCAAAAAUCCAAAAUCUGAAAGCGGCGAAAGCACAGUGGGUGAAACACUGAAAAUUAAAUCAGAAUAUCCCAAAAUAGUGAAUAAAGUAGAAAAUCCAUAUCAUACAAACAACAGAUAAACCAUAGAUGACGCAGGAGUUUCUGUAACAACAAAGUACAAUCUGCAUAACUCCAUAGAUAUGGCCUCCCAAGUCAUGAAUAAAUAAAGCAUAGGACUUGGCCAACGUGGAUGUACAUGUAACUAGCUAGAGACUACUAAUGAAAGACAACUCAGCAUCAGCUCUUAUUUGUGCGAUAAACUAGCGGUAUCAGGCUGAUGAUCUUCUAAUUUUAGGUACUAAUUAAUUUAGUUGCCGUGUGGAGGCUUGUGGGGUGGUUUAUAGGGUGGCACUUUUGGCUUCAACUUAUUGAUCGGUGUCUUGCGCGAGGCCUCAGUUCCCUGUCCUGGGUGACGUUUGUGGGGUGGUUUGUGCUCAAGUGGAGGCGUCUCCCCCUUACCCUUGGGUGGUUUUCCACCGGAAAAUAUUGGUGGCUUGUGCGAGUCCUCAACAUCCUCACCUAGGAGGCGUCUGUGAGGAGGUUUGUGGUCAUGGGGUGGCUCCUUUCCCUCACCCUUAGGCGGUUUGUCACCUGGGAAUGGCUUCUUGGGUUCUUUACCAUUUGGCAAUUCAUGUCCAUGUGGAGGCUUCUCUCCCGUGCCCUUGGGUGGUUUACCACCGGAAAAUCUUGGUGGCUCGCGGGAGUCCUCAACAUCCUCACCUAGGAGGCGUCUGUGGGGAGGUUUGUGGUCAUGGGGUGGCUCCUUUCCCUCACCCUUAGGCGGUUUGUCACCUGGGAAUGGCUUCUUGGGUUCUUUACCAUUUGGCAAUUCAUGUCCUUGUGGAGGCUUCUCUCCCUUACCCUUGGGUGGUUUACCGCCUGUGGUUUUUGGAGGUUUGUGUGUGUCCUCAACAUCCUCACUCAGGAGGUGUCUGUGAGGAGGUUUUUCCCCAUGUACUGGUGGCUCCUUUCCCUUACCUUUCUCACCAGGAUGUGUUGGUGGCUUUUGACCAGGGAAAGGCUUGCCUCCCUUACCCUUGUAAGGCUCAUUAUCAUGGUGUUGAUUAGCUAGAGAAGGAGUGGUGAUCAUAAGAACCACCACUCCAAGGAGAAACACAAGCAAGAAAGCUUUAGACAUCUUAAUUUGGGAUCUUUGGGUUAUGCUGUGGUUCAAAACUGGAUCACUUGGUGCCCUUUUAUAAUGGAUGGAAGGGCUGGAGCUAUGUUGUCAACACAUACACACGCAAUUCUGCAUUUGUCCUCUACUUCUGUACUAGAUUCUUGAUUUCAUAGUGCACUAGAUACACCUCAAAGCAAGUGAUGCUUUUCCAAGGAUAGUAUGCAAAUGCAAAUGGGUCCGAUUUCGGGUCCCAUGUCCGGUUGAAAUGUUUGACAAUUUUACUAGUGCGCCCCAUUCACAUUUACUUUUGGUAGGAAAGUUAACAACCAGCCUAGUUUAGAAAGAGAUUCGGUAACAGGAGGUUGAUCUUCACAUUGAUGCAUCAAGGUCCUUGGCAAGAAUUGAGACAAACAUAGAUUUAAGAUUCAAUGUGCAAUAUUGAGUAAGGGCAUGCCCCAGUCAUCAAUUCUGAUGGAAUCAAUACAAUAUCGAGUUGUGAGACGACUAAAAACGCCACAGUUUUUAGUUAACUAAGUUCAAAAUCAACUAGCUAUGGUUGCUUGAAAAAAGAAGAAAGCGAGAAAGGUAAAAAUAUUCUUCACAUUUUUCAAUUGCAACCAUUAAAAGCUUUUAGACAGGAGUGUGGGCUUUUUCUGGAGAUAUUGUUGACAAAACGGUGUGAACUCUGGAAACUUUGGAAAAGUUACAAACUUUUGUCAUAAAAUAAUAUUAUAGAGAUUUAAGUCAAGUAACUUUAUCAAGUCAUCUAGUACAAAUUAGUUAAUAGUAGUGUCCACUAAGUCUCGGCUCGACGGAAAGAAAGACUACAAGAAAGAGAAAAGAAAAGAACAUAAUCUCGAUUUGGGGUAGUUCUUUUGAGAGCGUUUCCACAAGCUUAAUUUGUCGUUUUGCCAUAUGAUCAGUAUUAUCAUAUAAAAAUUGCAUAUUUCUUUUGGUGCAGAAGUUGGGUACUCGAGAUUCAUGUUUUUACACGUUCCUUUCUACCGACAUGUAUGCCGAUCAUUAGUAUUGGCUCUCCUCUCCCAUAGUAACAAUUGCAUCAAUAUUAAAAAAUAAAUACUAAGAGAAAUUUUUUAAUAUAUAUAUGGAUGGGCAUAGCCCUGUUGGAUGAGAUGACACUAACAGGUAAUUAAAAGUAGAUUACGCACCCACAGGGCCACAACAUGCAGAAAGUAACCUACUAAGCAUAACUUUUCUUUAUAUGAUCAUAUUCAACCGUUCAUAUAACUUUUCCACGACAUACCAUUUUUGGUCAAAAUAUUUAGUAUUUACUCUUUAACCUCACAUUUUUAAUGGCACGAUUCGUUGGAUGCAUGAUUUGAGAAAAAUGGGCAGAAAAAGACAGUUCGAAAUAAAGGAAUUUCGUUAACCAUUGGCUUUGGCUACAAGCCAAGAAAGGUUGCCAACUUUUGUAAUACUAGUAGCACUAGAAAGGCUGCGAGCCAAGCAUGGGAUUGCAUACUGAUUACUGAGACAGAAAUCAAAGAGAAGAUAGCGCAUGCUCUUGUCUUAUUUUGUUAUUUCUACUCUCUCUCUAUAUAACAUAAAUAAAUAGAAGGAAGCCCCAAAGGGGCUUCCAAGUUUAGCCAUGUCGUGGCUCUUUUUGGAUGACAUCUGUUCAGAAUAUAUUUAAUAUUAUUUGAUUUAUUUAUUUUUUUUAAGUUAAUGAAUUCCAUUCAUAGUAAAACAGGGAUAAGUUCCCUGGAUACAAAAACAAAGCACAUGAUUUUAAGAUGCUACGCCUUGAUCGUCAUCUCGUUUCAAAAUUAUCUUGACAACCUGCCCAGGAGAAGCCAUCAAAAAAUAAAUCACAAAAAACAAACAUCCCUAUCAUCAAUUUACAAACAAAUGAAUAUUCAAAACCAGCAUAAAGCCACAAAGUCAUACCAAAAUCCCCCUGCUCAGUAAUUCAUUCCAGAUCAAUAAAAAACAUGUUGCAAUCUAAUCCAAAAUUCUAAACUCCAGAGCACAUGUCUUUACAAGUAACCACAACAUCUCAUUCAAAAGACUCCAUAUCAUCUCCGUAUUAUUUGAUUUGUUGAGGAUGCAUGUAUGGUAUUUUCUUUUUAUGCUCACUAAAACCAACUAAUGUUCUGGCUUUGGUCCAAUUGAGUCUUACUCCAGAAAACAUUAAUAGGCAAAGAAGCAAAGUAAAAACCACUUCAAAAAAAAAAAAAACAGAGUGACAUAGAGUGAAGGAAACUUGCACUUCGAAUGGAAAGUUGGCUAGGUUCUUUAGAAAGAGAGGAAAUUGGCGGUAAAAGGAAGGGAAAGAGAAGAAAUGAAGAAAAGAGGAAAGGGAAAGAAAGAGGGAGUUGUUGCCAGAAAUGUCCAGUCCGGCGAAGGCGACGAAGUCAGUGGUCGAGUCAGAGAGAAAGGGUUUAAAGAAACGGAUUAGUUGCUAGGGUCAGAAGAGAGUAAAAAUGAAGAAAAAAGAAAGGGGUUGCCAGCUAGGUUUAGGGAAAAUCAAAACCAUGUCGUUUUAUGGACACAAAAAGAAGAAAAAGAAGAAAUGGGUUGGAUUCAAUCAAGCCCUAACUGAUUCAACUUUAGAUUUAGUCAAUUUAUUUUAUUUAUGUAAUUCUUUUUUAUCUAUAAAUUAAAUUUAUAAAAUUACUUCAAAAAGGAUAAAAAUAAAAAAUUUAAACAAUUAUUUUGAUAAGUAAUAGAAAAAACAAUUUAUUGAAUAAAGUUAAUAAUGACUUAUCAAAAUUAUUGGAGGAUCUCAAAAUUAUUUUCACAAGGUAGAUUAAUUCUAAAUAAUUAUAAAAAUAUAAGAUAAAAAAUAAUAAUUAAAAUUGAAGAUAAUUCAUAAAAUUUCAUCAUUAAAAUUAAAAAAAAUUUAAUAUGCUUUAUUAAUAUUCAUUUUAUUUUCACUUUCAGAAGAAAUAUUCAUUUUAUUUUAAUAAUUUUANCGCUACACAUAUAAUUUAUGUAGCUUAUGGAUAAUAACUUUUAAUAUAUUAAAUUUUCUUAAUUUUAAUUUUAUUUUAUUAUUGGAAUCAUCAUAAUUAACAAAAUAUGAUUAUAUGAAUAUUAACAUAUAUUAAGAUAUAAAAAAUCGAAUAAUUUUAAAAAUAAUUUAAAUAAAAUAUUUUACUUGGUAAAACAUAGUAAAAUCUUUUUAAAAUAUAGUUUUUUAAAAUAAUACGCUUUAAUUUAUUAUGAUUAUUAUUAUUUAUAAUUUUUACCAAUUUAAAAUUACUUUUUAAUUAUUAUUAUUUUAUUUAUAAUAUUAUGUAAUUUAAAAUUAAUCUUUAUUAAAAAAUUAACCCCAUGCAAAGCGGGGCACCAUUCUAGUAUAUAUAUAUUAUCAGUUUGAUAUAUAGUGGAGUGCGAGGUGGCUUCCGUGGAGCUUCCCCUACGGUCCAAGUUUGGUGGAGGUUCCACAGAAGUCGUCUCCUCCACUGAAGGCCCGCCGGGUGUCCGCCGACCCAAGUUUAUCUCACUAUUGUUCCAAUCAUAAGAGUGAUGCCUGGAAUCCACCGAGUUGAAAUGUUGGGCUUUUAGUAGGCGUCAGUGUCAGCUGAGGCAGGCAACUGGGUGAAUGGUAAGGGAAUAUAAUCUUAUCAAAUCUCUCAAGGCCUCUCGCUUUCUCGGCAGCUAAAGGAAAGAAUUUGUAAAUAUAAAAUCUAAAAAUAAAUAUUUAUGUUGGCCUAGGCUUUGAUGGACUUUGUCCAAGCCCAGAUGGAUACUUUUCGAGCUUAAAUUUCACACUGCAGCCCAUCUAAUUAGCCCAAACAGCAAGUCCACUUACCCAGUUGUAGGCCAGACUUGCAAUAAAACACCCCUAUACACAACCACCUGUAUCAAUUACUUUAUAUAAAUUACUUUUUGAUAUUAUUCUGUGUUGAAGUCUUUGGCACUAUUCUCUACAAAAUAGUAAAAAAAUUAAUGAAUUCAUUAGCAUGAUUAAUUACAUAAAACUCUAAUAUAAAUAAUAUAACAAAUUAAAAUUUUUAACAUUUCAAUAAAUAAGUGACGUCCGCUCCUACAGCCUAAGUAGCCAUUUGUAAUUAGUCACAACAACAAAAACAAGCCUAAUGAUCUCAAGCACAAUCACUUCCUUCAACCAUUUCAUUCAAGGUCAUCCAUAGCGUUUGAUUCCUUUUAAAGCCAUUUUUUCCAAUUGAUUUGCAAGCUUAUUUGCUUCCCUUGGCACAUGAUGGAUCUCCCAACUUCACCAUCCUUCUACACGCCUCAACAUGCAGCAUAUUAAUUUCUCCUUAUUUUUCAUGGCAUAUUUUGGACUCGAGUCGCUCUCGAUCAUUAGGUGAUGUGAUCCAUUCCACAUUGAAUCUUCAAACACAGAAAUAACUUGUUGCCAUAAACAUUAAUUUGACAUCUUUUCUGUUAAUGAGAUAAUGUUUUAACAAAUACAUAAAAGCAAGAGUGAAACUAGUUAACUUUUAUUGGGGUAAAAGACAAAGAAAAAUAAAGGUUAAAAAUUUUUAAAAAAUCAUCUAAACAAAAAAAAUAUACUUAAAAAAAAAAAAGACAAAAACAUAUAUGAUACAUACAAGAUUUUAAAAAUUUUGAGGGCUGCGUAAAGCUCCACUAUUGCAUAAAAGGGUUACAACCAAAGAUAUUACGAGACACAAUUAUUAAGAUUGUUUUUACUAAUUAAAUAAGUCAUAAUAACUAUUUUUAUUCUAUUCAAUUCAUUAUAUCAAAUUACGUAAUAAUUAUUUUAUUAUAUAUUUAUUUUAUUUUAUUCUUACAGAAUAAUUAUUUUAUUUUAUUCUUAUCUAUUCUGCAAACUAAACAUAUUUAUGAUGCUACGUCCAUUUCCAUCAAUUAGGAUUAUGACUAAAAUUAAAUUACGCGCCUAACUUAUUUUAUUCUUAUCUAUUCUGCAAACUAAACAUAUUUACGAUGCUACGUCCAUUUCCGUCAAUUAGGAUUAGGAUUAAAAGUAGAUUACGCGCCUAACUUUUCUGAUCAUAUUCAACAGCUCAGAAUAAUUUUUCCGACAGCAUCCUAUCUUUAGUCAAAUUGUUUCUAAUUUUAAGCUGUACUGUCUUCUUCGAUCUCACAGUGUGAUGGGACGAUGAUUUGAGAAAAAAUGGACAGAAAAAGGCAAUUUCGAUAAUCAUGACUGAUUUUCUUUUUUCAAGACUUUUUGCAUAUCUUUUUAUUAAUUUCCAUAUGUUAGUAUAUCAUAAACUUGCAAGUCUCCAUCUCAAAACUUAAAGGAAAAUAUUGAGUUUUCCUUUUAAUAAAACUUCGUUGAUGAAUGAUAGCUUAAAAGCAUAAUAUAUUAAGGUUGCUUUUAGAAAAUAUUAAGUAGAUUACAUGAUUAUUAGCCUAGUCUUUCACCUUAAUAAUUUUGCGUCCCCAUGUUAAUUAUAUAACACAUUCUUUAUAAAUGUAUAUUUCGCUUGAAGUAUGCCUAACAACUAAAUUUAUGAUAUAUAUAUAAUGUAAUUAGAUUUUCAACUUCAACAUUUUUUUUGGUCUUAUUGCUUUUUGAGAUAAUCUCAUUUAUAUAUUUUUUAUUUCCUCAUUUUAUGCUAAACUUUAUAUAUAAUUAAUUUAUACUAAUUCAAAAUUUACAUAACAAAAAUUUAAAAUAAAAAAUUAUACUUGAUUCUUGAUAUAUAAUUAGAUAACGAAAACAAUACUAAUUAGAUUAAUUGAUGGCAUUUAAUGCACUAGGAUUUUUUUUAAUUUUUAAUAACCCUCUAAUGGAUUUGUUGUGUAUUGAUAGGACAGGAGACCUAACCAUAAUUUUAUAUAAUGAAUUUUUACUUCUACCUAUUAUAAGCUUUAAACUUGUUUACACAAGUUUACCGUCUCGAGUCUACAUUUAAUAUUGAAGUCUAACUCAUUUUAUUAAAUCAUAUCAUAAAUUAUAAUAUUAUCAAUUUAUAAAAACUAAAUUAUUUGAACUCAAUUUUAAUAAAAUACAAAAAAAUAAUGUAAGUCCACACUUUAAUUUUAUAAAAAAAUCUAACCCUUUACACAUUCUUAGUAAUUAUUUUUUGUGCAAUUCGAAUAGCAUAAGUCAUGACCGACAUAAUCCAUUGAUCCGAUGGUCAUUUUUUUUAUUUAAAAAAUUUAAGAAAUAAUGAAUGGAUGAUUGUCUUUAUGAUAAAAAAAAGUUAAUCUCAAAUAUUAGUAACGAGAUGAAUUCAAAGAAGUAUCAUAAUAUCAGAAUAUUUCAAAUUAAAAGAUAAAAUCUUAAUUGUAUCAUCUUAUGAAUUGUAACUAUUUUAAAAUUUUAAAAAGAAACUUGUACCAAAAACUUAAAAAUUAAGCUAGCUCCAUAAAUGAUGUGUGUGCCAUCGAGGCUAACAAUAUUAGCUCGAUAUAUACAUAAAAUUAAUUAUAUAAUUUUGAAACUUCACAUAUAUAUAUAUAUAUUAAAAUCCUUGUAAUACUAUCCAACUUGUUUCAAAAAAAUAAUGUUGCUAAUACGGUGCAAAAAUCCACAGUGGGAAGAAAUUAAAGAGCGAAUCAUCAUAUAUAAAAAAGUACACAUCAUUAUUUUCAUAUGUUACAGUAGAGGAGAUUUUACACAAACAAUCAUAUUCACAUCAAAUAUGAAAUGUUAGGUAUCACAAUGCCACUCACUCAAAUCUUUGAUGUCUUCAUCAAUUCUAUACAUCAUAUCCACAGGACCAAGAUCUCACCAGAGCAACUGGUUCAGUAACUUUUUGGGUCUAAAUUACGUGAUCCUCAAAAGCUUAAACUCAAGUUGCUAGUAGUGAUGGGCUUGAAUUGUUAUAUAAAUAUUAACAAUCACAUUCAUAUCAAAUGUGGGAUGUUGUGUAUUACAAUACCACCCACUAAAAUUCUUGAUGUCCUCAUCAAGACCACACAUCACAUCCACAAGACUAAGAUUUUACCAGAGCAAUGUGAAAGUUCACAUCGGAUUGAUACAAGCUUUGAUACCAUUUGUAAAGACCUAAAUCCAAACACUGGACCAACAGUUUUUUGGGCCUAAACCACGUUGCUCUCAAAAACUUAAACUCAAGUUGCUAGUAGUAAUUGAUUAAGAUUAUUAUAUAGAUCUUAAAAAUUACAUUCACAUCAAAUAUGAGAUGUUGGGUAUCACAGUAACGAUUCAAGCAUGGAUAACAUACUGAGUAAUGAGUCAGAACUCAAAGAGAAGAGAGCGAAAUUGUCUUAUUUUGUUAUUUCUACCAUACAUAUCACAUAUGUAUAGACUUAAAUAUAUUACUCAGUUUGGUAGCGGAGGCCCUCCGGGCGACUUCUCAAAACCUGUUGGCUUACCACUGUCCAAGUUUAGUGAGUUUUGUUUAGCAAGACUAGUCUCCUUUGCGGGCCUCCGACUGUGAAUUAUUGGAGGCUUGCUGAUGCGGUAACGAUCAGGACGAGAUGAAGUGGUGAAGAGCACCAGAAGGAGGAGCAACGCCAGCAAGUAGGUUUUGGAUUGCAUCUUUCCACCCAUGCAGUGCUGGAUCUAAGACUCUAGAUAGGAUGGUGCAGAAUUGGAAGAACUGAAGUGGUAUAUUUAAGUGGAUCAUGACCUGUAACUGCACGACAUGUCUCUUUCUGCAUUUCCUUGGUUGAACACUAACAAAAGAGAUUUUUAUUUGAAUGGAUCCAAUCCCAGUUAGAUGAAGCCCAAUUUUUCCUACUCAAGCCCAUCCAUAUUAAAAAAUAAAAAACACUAAGAAAUGUGUGUGUUUGAUUGAUGUAGUUUGAGAAAAUGAUUAGUACCCCUAUUGAACGAGGGAAACACUGAAAGAUGCAUGUAAGCGAUAAAUUUUCUGGGAAAUCUCUUCUCCUCUUUCAAAAAUAUUUUCAAGAUUUAUCCAUACUCCGAAAAUUUUUCUUGAUGGCACCAUAACUAUAUAUGAAGAACAAAUUUUAUACAAUAAAAGUAAAAUGCAUGUCCAUGAUCAUUAGCUGUUAAAAACAAAGUACAAUAGCUACCGUUACUAGAGGCACCUUGGUGCCAGAAGGAAACCGAUCCUUAUAUAGUAAAUUCAAGGUUCAAGAUGGAUCGAUAAUCACUAGCGCGCAGCUCUUAUUUUUUACCCCACAUAGAUUUACAUCAUUGAUUCUAUAUCUGUAUAAUAAUUAAGUAGUUAAUUUGAUGUUGGGAGGCUUAUGGGGUGGUUUUUCCAAUGGGUUUGUGUAAAUGUUCAACACGUGUUUAACAGGACGGUGUGCAGGGAAGGGUUGGCGCGGUGGUUUGUGUCCAGGCCGUGGCUUGUAUUCAGGGAAUAUUGUUUUCUCCUCUUCAUCAAGUAAGGUUGGUGGCCUGUGUUUUGGUGGUGGCUUAUUAGGUUUACCAUCCAGGGUUAGUGUCAGUGAGUUUUGUUCAAGACAAGUUUCCUCCGCUGGAGGCUGGAGGCCUCUGGCUCUGGGGUGUGAUCAACAAAUAAUUGAAAGGGGAAGAGCAGCGCCCCAAGAAGCAGUAAUAACACCAGCAAGUAGGUUUCUGAGUGCAUCUCUUCGGCUCUCGUCUCUUUGAUGAUGGUGCAAAACGAGGAUUGGGUCACAUGGGUAUUUACUUUAAUGGAUCACGACUGCCGAGAAUGAUGCUCAAUAUGUGGAGCACCGAAAAAGUAGACCAGCUGGAUACUUAUGGAGCUUAAUUUCCAACUGAAGCCCAGCUAAUUGACUCAAACAACUUGUCCACUUACCAAUUGCAGGCCAGACUUGCACUUCUUUUUUCUUUUUGUGGUUAUCAACAAAAUAAUCCGUACGAUAAUGGCUUCUUUGCAAUAGAUGCGACGUGGAGUGAAAGUGGCGGGAAUAACCAUGAAGAGUCAUCAUCUUGGUGCGCGAUUAAGGCCUUUCCUGCAAGAGAAUUAUUCCCCCUCCUCAGCGGCAACACUUUUGGGAAGAUUGAACCAAAGGGCUUUUCUCUCCCCCAAAAAUAUAUGACAAGAUUUCAUUACAUAAAAAAAAAUGUAAUUGAAACCCAAAUUUAUUGUAAUGCCAUCUACCAUAUUAUUCAUUUAUCUGAUUUUAAUUCAUAAAAAAAAAUCCUUUUACUAUACUUUCCUUUAUCAUAGUUUUUGUUCCUAUUUGCUGGAGUUUGUCUUUGAUCAAAUCAGCUUACCUAAGAGAAAGCAAACCAAUCUUCACAAAAUCAACUUUCUUAGUUUAAAAUGGUAUAUGUUAUCAACUUUUUUGCUUAAAAUAAUAAUAAAUUUCAAAUCAUACUUUUUUCCUUCUGCUUUUAGGAUUUGGCACUUGUAACUCUUAUCUAUUCAAAGUCAUCCUUAAAACAUUUUUAAUCUUAAUGAAAAUGUUAUCAUCAUUAACAAAAGUUAAUUUAUUCGAUGACUCACUGAAAUCAAUAGGUAAUAAUGGUAUUUUCCAAUGCCUUGUUGAUUCUGUGUUUGACAAUUGCAUAUCACUUAAAAAAGAAAGAUAGAUGUGAUUAAUCAUAACGCGAUUCAUUAUUUGUCUUCCUUCCCACUUAUAGUCUCUUGACCAAGAUAUAUAUGGAUUUGAUAAGACAAUGAUCCACCCCUUUUUUAAUAUAGAAAUAGUCUCUAUGAUCCUAAUCUAACCUUCAAACUAUAUUAACUUAUUGUUAAAUGAUGUAACCCUAGGGCUGAGACAUAGUUAAGAAAUAAAGUCAAUAAGGAAGGGAAAAAAAUUGAUACAGAUAUAUCAUAUACUUAAUUUAAUCAAAAUUUAGCUUCAAGAAUACUAAAAAAAAUAGAAAAACAAAAGGAAUCUGUUAGCAUAGCUAACAAUUCAUGGAAAUUGACCAUUUUUUGUAGCUUUCCAGGGUGAAUUGCUCCAAUUUAGAGUCUAAGGAAAGUUAAUGAAAUGAAAAGACAAUCAUAUACCUAUUUAACUUGUGAGAAGUAUGGAGAAGACAAAAGAGCACGUUAGAUUACUAAUUAUUUAACCAAUUUGAGUUGAAUCAGUUUAGACCACUUUAUUCAAAGGGAUUUUUCACUGGGCUGAGAUUGCACUAGUUUUGUUCUUCUGCCAAAGGUUUUGCAUCCUUUGACUGAAAAAGUCAUUCUGAAAAUUAAAAAAAUUAAAUGAAGUCAUCUUUUUGUGAUAGCAAUAAACAAAAGGAAUUCACAUUUCCAACAGAUGUAACAUGUUGGCAGCCUUCCUUAGCCUCGUAUUGGAAUAAAUCAAAACAAACAACAACCGGUAAACAAUGGAAUCCUCAGCUUUAGGCCUCGUUUUGGUGUGCUGUUUGCCGCUUUUGCAAGUUGCCGAAGUUACCUGUUUCUGCCUCCCCGCGGUUUCAAAGCCAAGCCUCCCUGCCCCUAUUCUCCUCCCCUAACCUCAAUGUCCUAAACAAGUCAAAUCGAUUUCUACAUUUUGACGCGUCACCCUCUUUCAUUUCAUCUCCCAUUCGGGGUCCAUUUGUUCACCUACUUUGCACACUCUUUUGCUUUCUCUGUUGUUUUUCAUUUGAGUGAUCAUCUCUUUUCUAUUCUCUACACCUUCUCUUCUUAUUCUCCUCAUCAUUCCCUUUCUAUAUUUCAUUAUUUGUAAAAGAAAGAACACCAAGAAUAUAUUCUCGUGGCUGUCUUUUAAAUCCAAAGGGUACCAACCAACCAUUCUUUUCUGCAUGAACAAGAAAAGCAAACCAAAAGAAAUAAAGAACAUAAAUGAAAAAAGCCCCGCGCACCAAGAACGACCAUUCCAUGUUUAAAAAAAAGAACUUCCCAUUUUUCUUUCCUUCUCAAAAUAUUCUCUUUCACUUUCAUUAGAAGAUCGUAGCAUGUAGGUGGUGGUAGACUUCUUUGUUUCUUUAUUCCUUCUCUUAGCCUUUUAUUUUAUCUUCUUGGCUUUCUGUUAUUCUUCUUCUUUCUUGUUUCUUCUUCUUUUUCUUGUUUGGUCCAAGGAGUUGAUCAGUUUUUUUUUUUGGAGGAUAAGAGGAGGAAGGUGUUGGGCUAUGGAACCUCGAGUUCUUGAUGGUAUAAUCAAUAGGUUGCUUGAAGUUAGAGGGAAACCGGGGAAGCAAGUGCAGCUUUCCGAGUCCGAAAUAAGGCAGCUUUGUCUUGUUUCUAAAGAUAUCUUCUUGAUGCAGCCCAUUCUUCUAGAGCUUGAAGCACCAAUUAAGAUCUGUGGUAUCUUCUUUUACUCUGUUUUCUUCAAUUUUAAGUUUCUCUCUCUGUUCAGAGUCAUGGUUAAAAUUGAUUCUUUCGUAGUUGGUUGCUACCAGUUUAUGAGUUUGAAUAUGGAAAUUUCUUGUUUUAGGUGUGACUUGUUGUGUGAUUUAUCUCUGAAAAGUUCUAAAUUUAUUUUCUUAUGUGCUGGAGGUGCUGAAUGAUGAUGAAUAUGUUCAUAAAUUCUUCAUUUCAGUGAUGGAUGUGGAUGAAUUUAAGUUUCAGAUGUGUUUUCAUCUGUUUUUUUGCAGUCAGGCUUGAAGUUCUUUUGCCAGGUAUAGUAAUUAUAUUGCAGGGUGGUAGUUACUACUGUCAUGUUAGGGUAGGGUUUCGAUUCGUCGUUCCUACUUUAGUAUUAUAUAAUUGACAUAUUAAGUAUGAACCAUGCUGUUUUGUUAAAUUCUGGGUUCUGACUUGGGAGAUUGUGAUGGCAAUUUGAAUGCACUUAGAUCAUCUGCAAUGUGUGACCUUCAAACCUUAAAUAAGAGAUAGAGCUUUUCAGUUGUUCUCUGUUCAGUGCUGUAUGUUGACUGUUAUUGAUUUUGGCUUGAGAGAUCACGUUAUGGCUGCAAAUUAGUGUUUGAAACUUUGGUCAUAUAUUGUGCUUGUCAGUUCCCAAGCUUAUUAGCUCUAUACUGAGAGCUAAACCAGGGGAUUCAGUCGUUGAAAUGCUGAAGAGGCUCCCAUAAGUCACUUAUACUGAACAUAUGUCUUAUAUACUGCUUCUUUUCAUGACCCAGGAGAUAUUCAUGGUCAGUAUUCUGAUCUCCUGAGGCUUUUUGAGAAUGGUGGUUUCCCUCCUCGUGCCAAUUACUUAUUCUUGGGGGAUUAUGUAGAUCGUGGAAAGCAAAGCCUGGAAACAAUAUGCCUUCUCCUUGCAUACAAAAUAAAAUAUCCGGAAAACUUUUUCCUUCUCAGGGGCAACCACGAAUGUGCUUCUGUGAAUCGUAUCUAUGGAUUUUAUGAUGAAUGUAAGAGAAGAUUCAAUGUCAGGCUCUGGAAAGUAUUCACCGACUGUUUCAACUGCCUGCCUGUGGCUGCUCUGAUUGAGGAAAAGAUAUUCUGCAUGCAUGGGGGACUUUCACCUGAGCUCCGCAACUUGGACCAGAUUAGAAAUUUAAAGAGGCCUACUGAUGUUCCAGAAUCCGGCUUACUAUGUGAUCUCCUAUGGUCUGAUCCUAGUAAAGACAUUCAGGGCUGGGGGCCAAAUGAUAGGGGAGUUUCCUAUAUGUUUGGUGGUGAUAGGGUGAUAGAUUGUCUCAAGAAGCUUGAUCUUGAUUUAAUAUGUCGAGCUCACCAGGUUUAAAUACGUUUUUACAUGAAGCAUUUGCUGCUAAAUUCUUAUAGCUCGGCUUCCUUUCUCUCAUCAACUGGUAUCUAUCGCAGGUUGUUGAAGAUGGAUAUGAAUUCUUUGCUAAUAGGCAACUUGUAACCAUAUUUUCAGCACCUAAUUACUGUGGAGAGUUUGACAAUGCUGCUGCCAUGAUGAGCGUGGAUGAGACAUUAAUGUGCUCUUUCCAAAUAUUAAAGCCUGCAGAUAAGAAACCGAAGUUUGGCUUUGGAACCUUAACUCCAACAAAGCCUUCUACUCCUUCCUCUAGAAUCAAGGUAUAUUGAAUAUCCUUGCCCAUGUUGCUUCAAAUACAUGAAUCUUAUCUUCACAUUCUUUUUCCUUUGGACAUUAACAGUAACUUGUGAAAGCAUGUUGUCUAACUGUUGGGGCAUCUUGGAGCCAAACUCAUUGUUUGAAUAUCCAUAAUCUAGCUAAUUUCUAAUGAAGAAAAGAGAGUCAGCAAUGCUGGUGAGAAACCAGGAAGGUUCUAUCCUCAUGAUCAUUUAAUACAUACUCCGGCUUCCUUUCCUUGGAACAGAGCUCAUUCUUUCUUCUGAACUUUAAUUGUUAAUUCUCUUUGUUAAGUUUCUUUGAUGGGUUUUUUUUUUUCUUUUCUUUUGGGGAUUUUCUAAUUGUUCUUGAAUUCUCAAAAUAUUCCCAUGUCCAUAUACUUCUUGCCUUCAAAAUUUGGCACCUUGUUUUCAGGUGCCCUAGCUUGUUUUCACUAAUAAAAUUCCAUGUCUGAAGAACUUGUCCAUUGAAUUCUUAGUUCGUCUUAUUCAUUGUAGCUUUCCACCUUCAAAGGCCUAAUAUUCACUUUUGAUGAGCUAUUAACUGUUUCACCUGGUUCUUUGAACAUUACUUUUAAACUUAGGACUCAACUACAGGGUAUCUCAUUUCUAAAAAUUGCCUUCAUUUCCUUAUUCUUGUAUGAAGUUAGCUGAAAAGUUGCCCAGGGUAUCCAUCGUUUCGUUACUCUGUGCUUUUGUGGAAAUUCGCAUCAAUUUCUUUAAACAUCUUAAAUUUUUGUUUUCCAGUCAUUUCUUGGAGCAAAGGUAUAUGGUGUUUGAACUGAUGGAGAUAUCAGAAGGAGGUUGCUGCCUGUGAUCAAAGGUGUAUGGAAUAUUUCAAAAAUAGCAGUCCAGAAAUCUAGUGAUUACUCUAGGAGUUUUAUUUUGAUGAAGAAGAAACAUUUUGCAACUUUUGUUUUUCAUCUGGGGAUGAAAACAUGUUUCCUCCACCUGCAAAAUUAUUGGAGGCUGUAAAUUUUUAGUUUGCUUUGACCCCUGUGUAUCAGUUUCAACAUGGUCUAACUGAGCCCUCUUUUUUCCCUCUUCUUUCAUCUUUGUAUUUGCUCAGCCUCUUUGGUCAGGCUGCUCUAGUUGUAUUAUAGUCAAAGGAUGGAAAAUGUAAGCAGGGUGGAGAGUUUAUGCACGGGUUGGAUAUCCAAAUGCUCCUUGAUCUUGGGAAUUGCUGAUGUUGUGUCUCAUUGCAUGUAAAUCAGCUUAUUACAUACUUGUGGCAGACUUUGGGCAUCAUUUUUUUUGUCUCAACAACUCAUUUGGCACUAGUCUUAUAAAAUAUGGUCUGUCAAAUUUAUUUGCAUAAGGCUCUUGCUAUAGUCUUUUAGGGGUUAAACUGUAUCACAGUCGCUCUGUUGCUUGGCAUUAAUGGACUUCUACUCUUGUUAAAGAUGAAAAUAUAUAUGAUUGGGAGUACUUCUCUUAUUUUAUGUUUGCAGGAGCAGGAGCAGGAGGAGGGUUGCCACUUGAUGUAAGGAAAAAACAGAAGGCUCUUUGAACUCUUUGGAAUUGGAAUUGGAAUUGUUGCUUCUUUCGGAUCAUCCAAGACAUGAAAAGACUACAACCCGUGGGUAAAACAAAACAACCAGGAAAAAUAAAAAGUACAGAGUGGAAACUAGAAACGCAGCAAGGAAGGAAAAAGGAAAAAAGAACAGAAGUAAGACCAGAAAUAUGGUUCUUAUUUCUGACAUAAUAAUAAUUGCAACAAUCCAACAUCUAAGGCAAUGCAAUUUUUAAACCGCUUCCUCUAUCCACAUUCCUGGAUUUUCUAUGCUGUUGUCACCGAUCUUUGGAGCUGCAAUAUUGAAACCUGAAAGGGUUUUAUCAUUUUUAUUUCAUGUGCUUUGACAAAUGUAAAUUGAAGCUUGAUCCACCUUCAGCUGAAGGUUGGGGCCUAACUGCAGUAGUGCCAUGGGCUCUUAAUGCUGCAAAAAUUGAGUAAAUCAAGGUCUCACCAAAAUAAUCCAUAUGCAAUUGUGCAUAGGCUUCUGCCAUAUAACACAUUAUUACAUGAGACUCGAAACUUAUAUCACCUAAGCCCACUCGCCCCCUCCAGAGCAGAUGAGACCAUGUUAUAUUUCAGUCUCAAAUAAAAGAAAUCCGGUUUCCAACUUUAGCACUAUCAGUCCCCACUUUGAUCGAAGUCUUGCACUUGAAUCAACACUAUUAAGAGGUCCAGGUUCUACCAUGGGCCAUAUUAAAUUUUAGAGUAUAGAUUAGUCCUGAAACUCAAUAUAACUGAAUCAAGGCACUCUCACUGGUGUAACUUUAGUUCUUUACUCGUUCAGAUUAGGAAAAAGUUUUGGUCAAUCCCAUUUGUCUUUGCUGCCACCUCAUAACAUUCCCCUGUUUACAGGCACGAGUGAAAAAUUUUCAAAGUGGUCCAUUGGGCAUAAUUCUUUGCUGAUAGAAGUCCGUUGGACGAAACAAUAAAGACAAAAGGGAUCUCAUCUUUUGGACUUUGGCAUGGAAUCAUUUGCUUUUCUGGCACGCAAAGAACUGAACGAGUCUCACGUUUAAGUCUCCCCUUUAAGACAGCCAAUUCUAUUACCUCUAAUGGGGACUCAUCUAGGAGAGAAUAAUAUAAGGUAGGUUCCUGCAGCUUGCAAGGUUGCCGUUUUAGUUACAUCAGUUGAUUGUAUAUGUAGCAGUAAAGCGUGUGGAAAUUUUUCGAAGUCAUCUCUUGGAGAGUGAGGUGUGGGUUAGAAGAGAAUUUUAGCUGGUAGACAAAAGUGAGAAAUUACAUUUGUUUUUCGACCAGAGAAAUUUCAUGCAGGGUGCUACCUUGAUUCCCAUGAGCUUUCCCUUUCUUUAAUUUGGUUUUCUCUUUAGGUUUACUGGCCGCUGUUGACUUGGUGUUCCAAACUUGUAUAUCUGGGCAACUUUUUAAGAUGAAUACAAGGUUGUUUAAGUGAGUUCCUGUUCUCGUUAUCUAUCUAUCUACCUAUCUAUUUAUGUCGGACUCAUUUGUAAAGGAAAGUAGCCAUUGAUAUCCUUUUCCCAGUGAGUUUCUAGGAAACCCACCGGAGGGAAGGACAAUUGUCUUGGUCUGGCUAGGCAGGUUAACUGCCUCCUAUAGUAAUGAAACCUUUAAAUAAGUUGCAAGGUGCCGAAAGCUCUGCAGGAUCCAUCCGUUCUCACUGGUCAAAUAUUUUGCACCAAAUUAAAUUGAUUAAUUAACUAAUCUGAUACCUCCACUUUAACACUGUUUUUUUGGUUUGAUAGCAACAUAAAUUAUUAAAAAAUUAAAGAAACAAAACUAAGGAGCACCUUUUUGACUUUAAUGUAUAAGCUUUUGUACAUUAGUAGAGGACUCUUUGUAGGCAAAACGUGGCUGGACAAGAAUCUUAGAAUCUUAGUUAAAUUAACUUUAAUAACUUUAAUCUAAUACGGUAAAAGUAAUCAUAUAACGUCAGAUUUUGUAUUUUAAUCAGAGUUUUGCUUUCAGGGAACAUUUACACUAUGACUGCAAGCCUAAUAUGAAAACUAGUAGGUGGGGCUGCUAUCAGGAUUAAUUUAGUCCUUUCAAGCUUGUAUUAUGGAAGCUAUGGCGUCAAAGCUUUGUAUUUAGCCCUAUGCUACUGCACAAAAAAAAAAAAAAAAAGUCCUGUGCUAGCAGAUGGGAGCAACAAAACGCAAGGCUUUGAUAGGCAACUAGGCAACACAUGUUUUAGCAAAUCAUAAUUUUUCAUUGUUAGAUGAUAUGUAUUAGUAUUGUGAUAUACAACAUUUCACAUAUGAUGUGAAUGUGAUUGUAAAGAUCUAUAUAAUAAUCAAAGUCUAUUAUUAUUAGUAAUUUUAGGCCAAAUAAACUACUGUACCAGCGGUUGGACUUGAAUCGUUAUAAGUACUUAGAUAUGUGAUAUAAAAUUAUGAAAAAAAAUAUCAAACGAAAAAUUAAAAAAUAAUAAAAGAUUUCUAAUGAAAUUAUCACUUAAUUUACUUCAAAAGAAUUAUAUAUUAAAGUUUGUUGGUCAACAUUAUUUUAGAUUAACAGAAUGGUCCCAAUAUAAUUAAUAUACAUUGAAAAAGGCAUGUGAAUGCAAUUAAGUUCAUACAUAUUUGUAUAUAUUAGUCACUUUAUAUUAGUCACUAUCAUAAUGAAAACUUGAUGUGUGAACUAAUUAAACCAUUAAUAUGAGUUAUCACGAGGAAUAUUCCAAUUUGAUAUAAAAUUGGGUAUUGCAAAUUUGCUGUCCCCUUCACUUAAAAUAUCGACAAUUGCAGUCAUAAUCGAAACUUGCAGAGAAUUCAACUACAGUUAAUCAAAUUAGCACAAUAUUAAUAUGAAUUUCACUGCUUUUAUUGUCAAUGUGAGAUCAUAAAGUAUCGCAAAAAUAAAUAAAAGUAGGCAAAUCCGACAUCAUAAAAUGUUGACCAUAAAACAGCUGAUAAAAUUGUUAUAAAAAAAUUGGCAAAUAUUGUUGUGAAUGUGAUAAGCAAAACAUGAUUUGCAUGAAGUUCCGGCGCCGCUGCUUAUAUAUCGACUCAGGGAGCAAGGGGCUCAUUCAGAAAGGUCAACUGCCUCUACUAUAUUCCUUUUUUUGUUUUUAUGCAAUGCAAAUGGCUGCCAGCAGGUUUCUAACUUCAAUAUACAACCCAACGCUGUGUGUGUGUGAAAAAUUUUUGCCGCAAAGCUAGCUAGUCUUCUUCAAUAGUUCUUUUUUUAUAUGUGGAAAAUGAUAAGGAUGAGUCAUGUCUGUGCAUUUUUUCCUCGCGCUGUCAGUUAGGCAUAUCCAUCGGUAAGAGAAAUACGGCUUGAAACUAAAUCAAGCAAUCAUUUGUUUAUGCUACAAGUUAUGCUCUGACCAAAAUUAAAUUGUAUUAAUUAGGACUAAUUAAUUAAAGCAAAACCCUGAUGAUGAUCAUUCAAAGCCAGAAGCUCAAAGUCAAGCAUGGUGCAUUCAUGCAGCUCUGAAAUUAAGUUCAAAAUGAACUGAUGGUUUGUAGCUCUGAUGGUUUCCAUCAAGUUGUUAAGGACAUGGUAAGAAAUGAUUGGGAAACAUUUGCAGUUUGAAGGAUUAAUUCAACCAAAUAUUCUACUGGGAACCACACUUCCCCUCAAUCAGAAGGUUUCCAAUUUAAAUUUAACUAUAAUUAAUUAAGGGAAUAACAACUGAGGCAGGAGAGAAAAUGAUUGUCCAUUUUCCAGUUCUAUCUGUCUGAUAUAUUUGAAUGCUUUCCUAGCAGGCUAAAUUGGAUUCAGACUAAAAAAUAACAUAAUCUGGCUUGUUUUCACAUUUAGCAUGAUCAUUCAAUUGUUUUGCAGAUGAAAUGUAGCAUCAAGUCUUUCCCUGGACAAAAAAAAAAAAAACUUGUUGCUUCACACAAAUGGCUACUUGCAAGUGGCUGUUAUUUUCAUCUCUCUGUCUGAUAUUGAUUCAAGAAAAUGGCAAUCAGUUGACUUUCUUUGCCUUCAAAACAUCAAAUAGUAUAUCUCUCUGCCUUUAUUUACACUUUUGUAUGCAUUGCGAGAUGAUGAUAUCCAUGAUGUAUUCUUUACUUCCCAUAUCAGCUUUGCACCUUGCAAAAAAAUACUCUUUAAUUUCCAGCAUUACCAUAAAAUGCGAAAUACAUUAGAUAAAACAUGUUGUUCCUACUACCAAUUGACAUUGCGAUCCAAUAUCUUUAAUUUUUAAUUGUUUUUGGUCAUAAGGUUAGUGUAGUAGGUGAAUGAGUUCUUCUGAAAUGUUUGUAUCUAUGACUCAACAAGUCAAUAAUACAAAUGAGCAAUCCAAAGAUGAAAAGUUAACUAAUUAUAGUGGUAAAUCUAUAAUGUAAAAGAGAAAGGAGCAAGAAAGAAAAGUUGUUGUUAGUGAAAAUUAACAUGAUCUUGAUGCUGCUAUUCUAUUGGCAAAUUAUAGACACUAACCCUGGAGAAGACCAGAAAGGUUAAUUCUAUGGCACUCCUACUUUUCUUUUCAGUAAUAAGUUGAGCCAAAGUGGAUAACUUGGUUUCCUAUUUCUCAGACAAUUUUCUUGCAUUAUCCAUCCUCCUAAUAGGCAACAGCUAUAGCUUGCACCCUUUUGUGUACUAUAAUAAUCUAGACUAUACUUAACAACUCCACAUACUCAAUAUAAAAUAAAAUAAGGAUGAGAAUUGAAUAAUUGACGUUGAGAGACACUAAAUUCUUCUUCUUGGUUUUUUUUUUUUCCUUUGCCUCAUUUUUUUUUGUAUAAAUAACACUAAUUUUUUAACUUAAUUGUACAAGGGUUGGGAAUUGGGACCACAACCGUUGACCAAACGAACAAUCAUGACUGUGAUUAUCCAAAAAAAAACACUGUUUUGAUAAUGUAAAUUAAUUUUGCACUACAUGUCUUGCAUCACUCAUUGUAUGUACAUAUAGUUGUAAUUAUAAAAUUUGGAUUUGAAUUCGAAUAUUUAAUUUAUUGAUUAGUGCAUUAUUUUUUACUUAAAAGUAAAAUUCGAAUCUUCUUUCUUUAAUUAUAAAAAAAAUUAAAUUUAUAUUAUUUAUGAAAGUGAUGUCUUUGGGGUCCAUCUAUGAGAACAUGGCCUAGCAAAUAUGAAUCACAUUCCUGAUUCCAAGGUUCACAUUGAUCCGUGUUGGAUUAUCUACAUGACACACGUUUAUCGACGGUUCAGCCGCAUUGUCUCUAAUGAAUUGGCAUCUCAUGGGAUGGGAGAGGAAGGUCGUACAAUCAUGGAGAGGAAAUAUCCGAGAAAAAAACACUGAAGAGAGUUAAUGUUGAGAAGGACAAUGUAUAGAAAGAAGAUGGGAAGACCUGUAAAAGAGUUGACUUAACAAAAAAAAAAACCAGAAAGGGAAUAUCCUCCACUAGAUGCUGUCAUGUGAAGUUCUCUCUCAUUUAAAAGGCCAACCACUCUUUACUUUCUUCAUUCACAAUUUCCCUUCCUGUCUCCACCUCAUCAUCCUUCAGAGCACUGUUCAGGAAACAGGUUAGUGUCUCCUCUGCAAUUUGUGAAGCUGGAAACUCUUUUUUCUUUCAAUAUAAUUGAUUGUGAUAUGAAAGGAAGAGUUCUCCAGUUCCUGGCUUAUUGGAAAUAGAAGUUCUGCUAGAUGUUCCAGGACCACUUUAGGCACCUCUAUCACUUUGUAGAUAACCUUCAGUAGUUUUUUAUCUCAUGUUGAAAAAUAAGGGACUUUAACUGAUUAUGGUAGGGCAGGCUUCCUGAAAAGGCACCAUGCACUGACAGAACUCCCUUACUAUUACCUUUUUCUCAUAUGGUUUUCCUUUCUUUUCUUCUAUAAUGAAAACAAAUUAAUAAACUGCAGUAGACAUAAUUUUCUUGAGUUUGAUUAAUGCUUUAUGUUUAAUUCUUUUCCAUCUCUACUGUUGUUUAAUUUGUGUCCAAAACUCCACAAAGAUGGUAGUAGAAGGAGGAAAGAGAAACCUAUUUCUGGCUUUCUGCAACUAGUUUUUUUUUUUUUCAUCGUCCAUAUUUGUAUGGCAUUGAGAGUAAUGCCAGAAUUCAAGGAUUUCCUAUAAAAUCUUUAUGGAAACUCCAUUCCCACCCUCCAAAAACAGGAGCUAAGUUCAGAUUGAAAUGACCUUCCUUUCUACGGUUGAAUUUGCUUAUUUUUCCAUGGUAAGAACUAAGAAGUUCAAGGAAAAGGAAGGUUUCCCUUUUUUGUUCCUUAUUAGGGGGUGGGUGAGACUGUCUGGUUUUGCAUAGUAGUCCAUGGCCAUGAGCUGGAAAUUUGAAUUUUUUGAGUCUUAAGAUUUCAAACUUCAAGUUUUACCCCAAAAGCAUUGAUCUUCUGGAAUUGCAAGUUGGCCUAACAAACCUUAUGAAAUUUUCCUUCUCAAUUUGUUUUUCAUCUAGUCACUUUCAAGAGUUGGUACUAGUUGCAAUUUUUUCUGCAGGCUGUCUUGACAUGGAAUAGCAGUAGAACGUUGUCUGGAUGGUGAUAAUUGAAGACUCAUUGACUAAAAAUUACUGGUUACGGAAGAAUUGGGUAAUACUACUUUAUUAACAGUAAUGUGGGGUCAAUGUCGUCCAUCCUUUUCCCAUUAAACAAAUAAGGUUUUCUCAUGCAAUCAAUUCAAUGGGUUUGGUGAUCUGAAAUAAAAUAGUACUACUAUGUGAUUUCUCCUAUUGUGCAGUAAAUGUCUUAAUUAUCUAGAUAGAAUUUGUGAAACUUGUUGAAGUCUGCAUAGGAGAAGAAAAACAGGAAUCUCAUCAUGCUUUGUCCUCUAAUGGGCUAUAAUUAGGUAAACGUAAGGGAGGUUUUUCGUCUUUUCUGAUAUUUUGUUCAGCAUGAAUUGACUGAUUACCCAUUAUGUAAGGUAAUAAGAAGUCAAGGAAAGAAAUUAAGAAGAAAUUCUGCAAAGCUUAGCUGCUGCAAAGUAGCCCAUGGAAUCAGCCCCUUCCCUAUAGUGAUCCUUUUUAGCAAAGAGUUCCAGAAAAAUUCUUGUCUUUUUGGUGCUAAAUUCGUUUAUUGACGAUGACAAGAUAUAAUUGAUCAUUUCCAUCCAUUACCAAUUUCAAUUGAUAUCCCAAUUGUUCUAAUGCAGGACUGUGGAAGAGGUUGAUACCAUAAUUUGCAAUAUCCAGCCAUGGCUAGAGAACAGUUGGGAGUGCUUAAUGCACUGGAUGCAGCCAAGACACAGUGGUAUCAUUUCACUGCAAUUGUUAUUGCAGGGAUGGGAUUUUUCACUGAUGCAUACGAUCUGUUUUGCAUCUCCUUAGUCACCAAAUUACUAGGCCGUAUAUACUACCAUGUUGAUCGUGCACCAAAGCCAGGCACAUUACCUCCAAAUGUUGCAGCUGCUGUGACUGGGGUCGCUUUUGUUGGCACUUUAACCGGCCAGCUGUUUUUUGGGUGGCUUGGUGACAAAAUGGGCCGGAAAAAGGUCUAUGGUAUAACUUUGAUCCUCAUGGUUGUGUGCUCUAUUGCCUCAGGGCUGUCAUUUGGAAGCAGUCCAAAGGGUGUUAUGGCUACCCUUUGUUUCUUCAGAUUCUGGCUUGGUUUUGGGAUUGGUGGUGACUAUCCUCUUUCGGCCACAAUUAUGUCUGAAUAUUCUAACAAAAAGACUCGUGGAGCGUUUAUUGCUGCAGUGUUUGCAAUGCAAGGCUUUGGGAUUUUGGGUGGUGGAAUUGUGGCUCUUAUUGUCUCUUCUUCCUUUGAUCGUGCAUUCAAGGCGCCUGCCUACUCUGUCAAUGCAGCAGCCUCAACUGUGCCUCAGGCUGACUAUGUUUGGCGCAUAAUUCUGAUGUUUGGUGCGUUCCCUGCUGCUCUUACUUAUUAUUGGCGAAUGAAGAUGCCGGAAACUGCUCGUUACACUGCCCUUAUUGCCAAGAAUGCAAAACAGGCUGCAGCAGACAUGUCAAAGGUGUUGAAUGUGGAUCUUGAAGCAGAAGAAGAUAAGGUAAUAAAGUUAACAGAAAAUCAAGCAAAUUCCUUUGGCUUGUUUUCUAGGGAAUUCUUGAAGCGCCAUGGACUUCAUUUGCUUGGAACUACUUCCACUUGGUUCUUGUUGGACAUUGCCUUUUACAGCCAAAAUCUAUUCCAAAAGGAUAUCUUCAGCGGAAUUGGAUGGAUUCCUCCAGCUGCAAGCAUGAAUGCGAUCCAUGAGGUCUACAAGAUUGCAAAGGCACAAACAUUAAUCGCCCUAUUCAGUACCGUUCCGGGGUAUUGGUUCACGGUGGCUUUGAUUGAUAUUAUUGGAAGGUUUGCAAUUCAAUUGAUGGGUUUCUUUUUCAUGACAGUUUUCAUGUUUGCUCUUGCCAUACCUUACCAUCACUGGACCUUGAAACCCAACCGAAUCGGUUUCGUAAUAAUGUAUUCCCUAACCUUUUUCUUUGCCAAUUUUGGACCCAAUUCUACGACAUUUGUUGUCCCAGCUGAGAUCUUUCCUGCAAGGCUAAGGUCAACCUGUCAUGGUAUAUCAGCUGCAGCUGGUAAAGCUGGUGCCAUAGUGGGUGCAUUUGGGUUCUUAUAUGCUGCUCAAAGCACAGACCCAACCAAGACAGAUGCAGGCUACCCAACAGGCAUUGGAAUCAGAUACUCACUUAUUGUGCUCGGGGUCAUCAAUUUCUUAGGAAUGUUAUUUACUCUCUUGGUGCCUGAAUCAAAGGGUAAAUCACUUGAGGAGUUAACAGGUGAGAAUGAGGGUGAAGUUGGUGAGACAGAACUACAAACUGGUCCUACUAGGACUGUUCCUCUGUGAUUUGAGCAAAGUUAAUUACAGCAGUUCUUAUUAUGUUAUGUGUGAGUUUCAUAGUGGCAUUUUAACUUCUUCUUGGUUUUCUAAAAUUCCUUGUUUGAGAAAGAUGCUAUAAUGAUAUAUAUUGGCUAGGAAAAGCUAUGAUCCAAGUACAACUAUAUAUAUAUAUAUAUACACACCAUGUACUAAAUUUGUUCUGAUUUUGUAAUAUAUUUUGUUCAUCUGUCCUACUGGAUUUUAAAAUAACUGUCUCCUUAUUCUUAUCUGAUAUAUUUCUUUUAUAUAUCAAAGAUGAGUAUGGUAAUUGCUCAAUCUGCAUCCAAAUUCAAGAACCACUUCCUAUUUUGUUCUAUUCUCUGGCAUAGUCCCCAGUGUUGAUUAAGCAACUGAACAUGCCAAACACCUCUCUUAACUCCCGAGCCUUAAUUUUCUUAUUAAGCAGCACUAAGUUCAUGUCAACAGAAAGAAAAAAAUAAUAAUAUAAAGUGCAAAAAGCUUAUAUGAUAAUAAAACUACCUACUCUGCUUUUUUUUUAACCCAAAAAAAAUUUUAAAAAAAGAUUCUCAGCCUGUAACUAAUUGCUCUUUCUUUUUGCCACAUCCAUUCCCUUUUCCAACUUAUUAUAAGGCUUUGUUAAGGAUUUUAUUAUUUUGAAUUUGGGUCUUGACUUUCAUCAUACUAUUUAAAAAAAAAAGAAAGAAAAAACACGCCAUAACUUUUGACUUUCUUGCCACGGGUGAUGGGACCAAAACAGUAGUUAUACUACUUCCAAAAUGACUAAACUAUUCCUUUGUCCGAAGGGUUUCCAUUCUCUGAUCAAUUUUGGUUGAUAUCAUAGGUUCUUGGGACCAGUUCGAGGUUGGGGUCACUUCCCUUCACAAGUUGUUGUAUGUAUAUUGCCUUUGAAGUUCUGUCAGCCAAUCCAUAACACAAACGAAUUGCAUUGAUGUUGAUAAUAACAGCCGCCUGUUUGAAGCCUGAAGGAAAUUCUAGUGGUUGUGGUCAUGUUUCAUAAGCAUUAAUUAUAAAUUAAUAAGGAAUUUUUUUUAUCCCUCAAUUAAAUUUCCCUUCACAAGGAAAACAUGUUUAUUAAAACGUAUUGCAGUGUCGUGCACAAAAGAAAGGAAUAAACUAUAGUUUUUACAAAAGUCAACUAUUUGGGUUGGAUUGGAGUGUUUGAUUUUGUAAAGAAGUUCCUGUAGCAGUUCAGAAUUACAGAAAAUUUUCCUUUGCGUAGCAUAAAGGAAAUGAAUAGGAAUAAUUUUUGUAAUCUCUAUGAAUAAGAGCACACAAUCCUGUGUACGGUAAAAGCUAGUUCGUUCCAGUUCUUGUUAGGCAAUCUUCCGGUUCUUCUUAAUUUCCAUCAUCGAGCCUGUAGGAAUCUACAUGCUUUCAAGCAUUCAAAGCAUUCAAAGCCUCCAGUAAGUUAAUUUAGGUAUGGCAAUCUAAAAUGGGUUUUAUUUUAUCUACGGCGUAAGUAAUAUGAGCGGCUCAGAGUUGACUGACGACUGGAUAGGCUAGAGUCUGAAGUUAUCUACUUAACUUAAUCCCAAUUUUUAUGGUCACCAUGUCUUUGGUAAGAUGAUAUGACCAACGCACUGUCCCUUGUGUCCUUCUCUUCCAUGCUUGUAUCAGAGGAUGCGGUCCAUUGAUUUCACUUCCAAACCAAGUUGACGAAACAGAAGAAGACUUUCACCACGAAUGCUAGGCCCCCAGAGUUGCAGCAAGAGACAAAGGCAAAAUAUUGCUUGACAAUGAUUCAAGACAGUGAAACCAGAUAUAGCAGAGUUGGAAAAUUCAAUUGCCAGAGGAUGCAAACAAUUCUGAUUGUUUGUCAGCUUGACAUCUUCUUGUUGGUACAAAGUUGCUUUUAUGUAAUAUGAAAGUGAAGGCCAAAACUUGUUCAAAAAGCAGCGCCAAGCUCGCAUUCAUGGUUGACAAACUAUAAGCAGGUGAGAUCGAAAGUCAGAAAGAUUCUUAUUUAAGAUGACAAUACAAAACCAGCCAAAUGCUAACAAGCCAAAAUUUGGAUGUUGGUCCCAAAUAUUUGAUCUCCACUAUUAUACAUCACCUUUAGACUUUUAGCUCUCCCCCUGAUCUAUGCUCUCAGGUAAGAGUCCACUAAAAUUUUGGGCAAAGGAUAUUGUUCUUUCCGUUAUGCUUACUGUUUUAUUAGGGGAAUGGGAACUGCAGCUAUGGAUGAUUAUCUCACUAGUUGCUUAAGCUAUAAUGCACCACGAUUAUUAUGGCACAUGCAACAAAUCAGAUUUGGCUUUUAACAAAGUGGUAUUCGGAAUUAAAUAUUAUAUAUAUAUAUAUAUAUAUAUAUGUAUAUAUAUGUAUAUAUCACAAUUUUUUCUUAAAGAUAAAAUAAAUGUUAUCAUGAACCGGAAUAAGAACAAAAAAAAUAUACUAUAAGUUAAUAAAGGAAUUAUAAGCAUAAGGAAUUGUCUAGUUUCACCAACAUUAAUCCAGCAGGCUUAAGAGAGACAAGUGUAGUUUGUGAAACUAAUCCAUUGUUCUACAAAUAAUUAAACAGUAGUACUAGCAAAAAGGUUUGUGAAUGGAGGAAUAUUUGUAAGUUGCUGUCAAUAUCUUUCUGAUAAUGGCUUUAUUGGAGGAAAAGAAGGUUUCGAUCUGGCUAGAAACCAAACUUUUCAGCUAAAAACGUUGAUCAAGCAGCCAAUUGUUGAACACUUGUGCAAUUCUAAACCCCAUUAAGUGAAAGGAUGAUGAGACAGGUUGUAUGGCAUUAAUUUUAAAAUGGGUUUGCUAUCAUUAUUUUGUACUUGUAUAGGGAGUUCGGACUAAAUGAUUUACCUCAAGAAUAAGUGCAAUGAAGGGACGAGUUCAAUAAUCAAGGAUUCAAUCCAAACUCUACGGAGGGAAAAGGCUGCAACAAAAGUGGUGCCUCACAAUAAUUCCUCUGUUUGAGGUUUAUAAUUACCAAAAAUUAAAUGUGUAAUUUCCACCGUGGAAAUUACCAAAGCCACCCGAGCAUUAAUUAUCAAAUUCCUAUCCAGCAUGAUCAGAUAUCCCCAAAGCCACUAUUUGAUUGCCUUGUACAAAUUGGAUGUAACCAUAAUCCUUAAUUUAUCUUUUUUAUUCUUUCACUUUUUCCUUGACAUUUAAUAUCAUCAAUAAUCAUAAAUUAUCUGAUUUUUUUAUUAAAAAAAUGAAAUUUUUUUUAUCAAAACUGGAAAAAGGUUAAACAUCUAUAUGCAUAUGCAUCUAUUUAAGCUUUUGAGGUAUUAAAAAAGUUAUUAGAAAUAAGUGUAUUUAGAUUUCAAAUGAAUGAUUUAAAUUCUGAAUAAAACAAGUAGGGCUGAGCAAAACUAAUCCAGACCAAUUAUCCACUCGAAUCAAAUGCGAUUUUGAUAAAAUGGUUCGGUUUAAUUGAUCAAUUGGAUUAAUUGAUCUAAAAUAUUUGGUCCAAUUGGUUUUUUGAUCAGUUCUCGGUUUUAAAAUUUUUGGACCAAUCCAUCCAAAAAACCAACUAAUUUUUUAUAUAUUUAUAUAUAUAGUCAUAUAUAUAAUUUUUUUUAUAUAUUAAGAAGAACUGAUUGUAAACUUAAUUAAUAAUAUAUUUAAAAUAUAUUAGGGUAUUGUAGGUACAUAUACAAAUCAUAAUCAUAGUAAUUUAAUAUUAGUUAUAUAUAUAUAUAUAUUUAUUUAUAAAUCUAUAUUAAUAUGAAAUUACAAGUUAUAUAUUUUAAAUGAUAUAAGUUAUAUGUUAAUAUUAUAAUAUUUGAUAGUAAAUAUCCUACAUAUUAAUAUGUUAUAAUUAUUACACCUUAGUAAUGUUUCAUAAUGUAAAAUGGUAUGAAUAUAUACAUAUAAUUGUAUAAAUAUAUUAUAUAUACAUAUACAUAAGCAUUAUUAUAAUUUAUAAUAAACUUUUCUUAUAUGAUUAUAUUUAAUAACUUUAUUAGUUAUCACCUUAGAUUUUAUAGCAUACUGUUUAUAAUUAGUUAUUAUUUAUACAAAUUUUGAUAUAAAAUAUUAUAANUUUAUAAUUAGUUUUUAUUUAUACAAAUUUUGAUAUAAAAUAUUAAAACAUAUAAGUUAUAUCAUUAAUUAAUUUCAUAUAUACAUAAUCAUAAAUGAAGUUCAUAAGUUUUAAUAUUAUAAUUUGUAAAAAAAGUGAUAAAAUUUUGAUCUAUUGGUUCAAAACCGAACCAACCUAACCAAUUUUAUAUUUGAUCGGUUUUGAUUUUUUAUUAUAUUUGAUCAGUUUUAGUUGGUUUUUUAAAAAUAAUUGGUUCAUUUGAUCCUUAAGUAUGGUAGACCAAACUAUCUAAUCCACCUAUUUGCUCACUCCUAAAAAUAAGUGUAUUUGUAGGUGUAACCAAUUAAUCCUUUUCCAGCAAAAAUGGAAUCUUCUAUAUGAUUUUUCUUUCCUUUCCAAAGUAGUAUACUAAUUCCUUUUAUAGAUAAAACUUUGGUGUAUAAUGUUUUUUAACUUUGAAACAUAGGUUUUUGAUGUAAAAUUAUAUUGACAUAACCAGAUUAUUAACUUGGUCAUCUCGAGAUAGAGCAAAAUUAAUUAUUUUGUUCCUAAUAAAAAAUAAUUGCUUUGUUUUAUCAUGAUCCCAAUUUUAAUACAUAAGCUAGAUUUAGUUAUAUUUGCCGUAAAUUGAAAAUCUGAAAUCCAUGUGUCCCGGCCCUUCCCAUUUACAGAUAACAAUGCUAAAAAAUAAAAUAAAAAAAUCUAAUUAAGAUUAUUGAUAAUCGUAUCCCUUAAAGACAAAUCUGAUUAAGCAAACCCAAAACCCAGAUCAGAUUGGAAAUCUCAAAUAUGGAAAAUAUAGUUAGGACUUACCAAAUCCAGUCCCGGAAAGAUUAACCAAAGUAGAAAAAUAAGGAGCAAUUGUAGAGAAUAUGCCACUUUGGAAAACCAAGAUUCUCAUGUAAUCAUUUCUUUUCUUCAACUCUAAAAUCUCCAUGAGGGUAAAUGGGAAAAAGAAAAAAGAGAGCGUCCAUAGCAGUUAAAUACGGAACCAACUCCCCUCUCAUCCUUCCCUUCUAUCCAUCACGACCCAACUCUUCUUCUUCUUCUCUCUCUCUUUUUUCUUUCUUUCUUGCAUUAGCUUAUUAAACCAUUGGAAGCUCUUUUUUUAUACACAUAUAUUACCGGACUUCUUCUUGUUCUUGUCUAAAUUUCCUCAGCAGUUUCUCUCCCUUCAUUGGUUUGCACAUUCAACGUAAGCUUUCUCUUGCUCUAAAGUCAUGGAUUUGAUAUGUGGUAAUGAGUUUUGAUUGAAUCGUAGAUGCUAUUUGAUCAUGGAGUUUUUGUUUUCUUUAUCUCCUUUGGGGUCAAAAUCUUUACUUCCUUAUGUAAGGCUGUGUGUUGCAUAGAGUUUCGAGAUACGCAAACGAAAUCCAGAGUCCUAAGAUUUGAGACUUUUCCGUUUUCUUUUAAUUAUUGCUCUUCUACUAGGAUUCUCCUCUCUCUCUCUCUCUCCUCUUUUACCCUGCAGGUUUUUAUUCUUUCUGGUGCUAAAUCUUUUUCAUUCUUCGUUAUGAUUCUCUCUCUAUUUGAGGUUUUAGCAAUCUCCACGUGAAGACAUUCAAUUUUGUUUUCCAUCAUGGUGUUCCUGGUAGGGGCGGGGGGCAGUUCAACCUGAGUCCUUUAUUAGUAUAAGUUUUUUCUUGGUACAUCAAUUAUUAAGUUUGAACCAGAUUGCAAAACUUUCGAGUGCAAAUCUUUUCACUUUUUGAUGAUUGCUAGGAAGGAGAAGAAAGCACGAAAGAAUCUUUCUGUCAAUCCAAAAUUUUUAGUUUAGUUUUUCUUGUCGAAUAUCCUAAAUUGUAGUUACAAGCUUUAUUUAAUGGAAAUAUGCUUUUUUGUUAAACCCUUUUGUAGUAUCUUAGUUACACUUUAUUGACCUAAGACUUUGUAUUAUAGUCUCGGUCAUUUUGUCAUCACAUUUAUUUCAUUUGUCAUCUUCUAUCAACCUUAGCCUCUUGAAACUCCAUACAUCCUCACGAUUUUGGAAAAGGACUGCCUUGCCUUUCUGUCUUUUUUUUGUUUCCUUGCACCUUCACACAGUUCACAUGACUAAUAGUACUGACUUCAGCUUUCAUCAGAUAUACAAUAAUUGGCACCACCACCAUUGAUCAUAUGUUUUAUUUUUACUUUUUGUAAAUAUAUCAGUGCAUAAAUUGAUAUUUAAUUCGGUUGUUGCAAUGCUUUCAGUGGAAAACAAACAGAUAGCAUAGCAAAGACUUCUGAUCAGGAGGAAUCGUCAUGGCAAACGACAAACUGCAAGUUCUUAAUGCACUUGACGUAGCCAAAACACAAUGGUAUCAUUUCACAGCAAUUAUCAUUGCUGGCAUGGGAUUCUUCACUGAUGCAUAUGAUCUCUUUUGCAUUUCCUUGGUGACUAAAUUGCUUGGUCGCAUAUAUUACCACAAGGAAGGUGCUGCUAACCCUGGUGAUCUUCCUUCUAAUGUAAAGGCUGCUGUUAAUGGUGUAGCGUUCUGCGGUACCCUUACAGGCCAGCUCUUUUUUGGCUGGCUAGGUGACAAGAUGGGACGAAAACGUGUGUAUGGCAUGACCCUUAUUCUCAUGGUUAUCUGUUCGGUUGCCUCUGGGCUUUCCUUAGGCCAUGACCCAAAAGCUGUUAUGGCUACCCUUUGCUUCUUUCGCUUCUGGCUUGGUUUUGGUAUUGGUGGUGACUAUCCUCUUUCUGCUACCAUCAUGUCCGAAUACGCUAACAAAAAAACUCGUGGUGCUUUUAUUGCUGCUGUUUUUGCCAUGCAAGGUUUUGGGAUUUUGGCUGGAGGGAUGGUUGCUAUUAUAGUUUCUGCAGCUUUUAAGGCUAAAUACCCUGCUCCAACUUAUGAGAUGGAUGCAAAUGGGUCAACCGUGCCAGAAGCUGAUUACGUUUGGAGGAUCAUUUUGAUGUUUGGGGCGCUCCCAGCUUUACUUACUUAUUACUGGCGCAUGAAGAUGCCUGAAACUGCUCGUUACACUGCCUUAGUCGCCAAGAAUGCAAAACAGGCUGCAGCAGAUAUGUCAAAAGUUCUUCAGGUUGACUUGGAAGCAGAACAGGAGAAGCUAGAACCAAAAAAAGGGAGUGAUUUUGGUUUGUUCACCAGAGAAUUUCUUCUUCGACAUGGGCUUCACUUGCUUGGUACCACAAGUACUUGGUUUUUGUUGGACAUUGCCUUCUACAGUCAGAACCUGUUUCAAAAGGACAUCUUUAGUGCCAUUGGUUGGAUUCCAAAGGCAAAAACCAUGAACGCUCUUGAAGAAGUUCAUAAAAUUGCAAGAGCGCAAACUCUCAUUGCGCUAUGCAGCACUGUUCCUGGAUAUUGGUUCACUGUGGCAUUGAUUGAUAAGAUGGGGAGAUUCAAAAUUCAAUUGAUGGGCUUCUUCUUCAUGACUGUGUUCAUGUUUGCCUUGGCAAUUCCAUACCAUCACUGGACUCUACCAGACAACAGAAUUGGGUUCGUUAUUAUGUACUCCUUAACCUUCUUCUUUGCAAAUUUCGGUCCAAAUGCCACUACAUUUGUAGUCCCCGCUGAAAUUUUCCCUGCAAGGUUAAGAUCAACAUGCCAUGGAAUAUCAGCUGCAUCAGGUAAGGCAGGGGCAAUGGUGGGUGCAUUUGGCUUUUUGUAUGCUGCAGACAGUAUUGGAGUGAAGAAAUCACUUAUAAUUCUGGGCUUCAUUAACUUGCUGGGGAUGUUGUUCACAUUUUUGGUACCCGAAUCAAAAGGGAAGUCACUGGAAGAAAUAUCUGGGGAAGCUGAGCAAGAAAAUGGGACAGAAACACAACCUGGGCAGCAGGAUAGUAAUGGUGUCCAAAGUGUACCAGUUUAAUUAAGCUUUGUAAUGUUUUAUUAAUUACUAUGAAUCUUCGAAGUCACAUUAGGGAGUGUAUUUAUGUGUCUUAUAUAUUGGAGCUUUGGAUGCUGUUUGCACUUCCUGCAUAAUAAUAUAAGAUUCUUAUAUACACUAUUGAAUGUAAACAUCUCUGGAAUACCAUUUUUAAUAUCUUUAAAGUUGUUGAUUGGAGAUUUCGUUAAUAGUUUAGUUUAGCGUUUGAAGAAGAAAAAUUGUGUGAUCCAACCCUAUUUGAUGAACACAAUCUUGAAGAAGAAGCCCAUCAAUUGAAAUCGAAAUAUGUUUGUACUCUAGAGCCUAUCCAAAAAAGGAAUUUGGAUUUUAAAAUCCAAAUCAGUGGUCUCAAAUCCACAACAAUGCAUUCUCUUGUUCUAACUUGUUUUAGUGCAGUCAAAUGAGUUCGUACAUUUAUGUCAUAAUGUCUGUUUAUAUGUAAACAACUACGUUUAUAGUAUCAAACUUAGUUAACCUUACUGUUUUUAUAUUUUAAUAGUUUAACUUACAUCAAUGUUCUCUUACAUAUGUCUCCUAGAGUCUGUCCAUUGUUGUUCGGAAGGCUACUAGUUUUUGGCCUCUGUGGCCCGGUGCCUACACCUUGAUCGCUAUGGGAGCGAGCUUCUUCCGAAGGCAACCAAGAGAGCAAAUGGAAAAGAUGUCAACCCUGGCAUUGGAAGCAUUUGCUAGCUCUUGAUUUGCCAUAGGAACAGAGAUUAGCCAGCUAGUUAUUGUCAUGUUAGAACCGAAGAUAAACAUGACAAAAAAACAGAAAGAAGCCUGCCUGCUAGAAUAAACACUACCUCCCAUGUCAUAUUACUGUUGAAGAGACUAUUUCAAUGCAACUUGUUAGGAACCUUUCAUUCACAAUUAAAACCAGUCUUAUAUUACCUAACAUCAACAAGAAAACAAGUAAGUUUUUCAAUGGAGUAGGGUGCUGCAGUGAAAACAUCUUUUGAGAUUAAAGCAUGGAACGCGUUCCAUAUGACCAACAACACCAUGGGCUCUAAGCCUCAGCGAAUGGGCUUGAAGCAACAAGCAGGAAUGGUCUAGAUGAAAAAUCUUUAUGCAUUGAUUUUUAUUUAUAUUUUUUUUCUUACCAUUUCAAAAUUGAAGAGAGAAAUAAGGGAUGAGUCACACCCACCACAUCGAAGACUUUUCGUCACUUGAAAAAUAAAUUAUGCAAGUACGGAAGCAGAGGAGAUAUUUUUAUCUUUGAUUUGUUAAUCUUAAUAUUUCUUAUGGUAUUUCAAAAAAUAAAUAAAUAAAUAAAUAUAGAUACAGUCGUGGGUACAAUCCACCCACAUGCUCCAAAUGGUUUUGUUCGUUAGGAGAUUUCGUAGAUUUCUCUGAUAUUACACUGUUUUUUUUUUUAUCUUUUUUCGAAACUAUUUUUAUUUUCCUUAUGUAGUUUUCUUUGGAUUAAACGUGUUUUUUUUUCCUCCUUUGAUAUUUUAGCGGAUGAAUGAUUGGUGGAUUCAGUUUUCCUCCCUUGAGGAAGUAAUUGAUGUAUACUUCUCCUAUUUUCUUAGCUGAAGGAAAUAGAAAGAAGGAAAAAGAAGAGAAAGUAAUUGAUGUCCACUUCUCUGCUUUUCCUUUUCACAUUCUUCUCAUUUCUUAUAUUAUAAUAAAAUUAUAAUUUUUAUUUUAAACUUUAAAUUAUAAAUAUAUAUUUAUUAUCAUUAAGAGUAUGGGAGCAUUUAAUCUGUCUUUUUCCUUGUUAAAAAUCAUCAUCACAAAAAAUUGUUUUUUAAAAUAUUUAACAUCAGCAUAAUAAUAAUAAUCAUAUCUUUAAUUUGUUUUUCUUAUAGAAUAUUCAUCACAAACCUCGUAGCUUCUCUACAAUGCUUCAGCCAUGGUUUCCCCUUUUCUUCCAAUUGGUCUUUAUUUUCUUUUUUAAUAUUAGCAAGGCGUAUGAGCAGAGGGUUAUAUGAUAAUAAAAAGUGGAAAAAGCUUAUAUGAUAAUAAAACUACCAACUCUGCUUUUUUUUUAACCCAAAACAAUAUUUAAAAAAAGAUUCUCAGCCUUUAAUUAAUUGCUCCCUCUUUUUGCACAUCCAACCCCUUUUCCAACUUAUUAUAACGCUUUGUUAAGGAUUUUAUUUUUUUGAAUUUAGGUCGUGACUUUCAUCAUACUAUUUUUUAAAAAAACAAAAACAAGAAAAAACACGCCAUAACUUUUGACUUUGCUGCCAGGGGUGAUGGGACCAAAACAGUAGUCAUACUACUUCCAAAAUGAAUAAACUAUUCCUUUGUCGGAAUGGGUUUCCGUUCUCUGAUCAAUUUUGCUCUUGGGACCAGUUUGAGGUUGGUGUAACUUCACGUCACAAGUUGUUGUAUGUAUAUUGACUUUGAAGUCCUAUCAAUGUCACACUCCAAUCUUGAGGUACGACAAACGUCAUAUAUAUGUAAUAUAUAGUCUUAACAGAUAUAAAAAGCUUCAAUAUAUAUUUUAUUUAAUAUUAAUUAAAAAAAUUAAAAUAUUUAAAAGAUGUAAUAAUUCAUAAAACUAAAUUUAUCUGUAGAAAUUUAAAAGAUUAUAAUUCGAUAAUAUUUAAAAUUAAGUCUCUAAAACCAUAAAAUUAACGUGUCAAAAUAAAAGUUUGAAUAAUAAUUUAAGAUAAUUCGAUGUUCAUAAUAUUUAAAUAAAUCUUAAACAAUUUAAAUACUACUAAAUUAAACAUUACUCUCUGAAAUUCUCGUAUGGUUGAUCAAAUCACAACUUAAAAUAAUUUGAAGGAAUGAGUGAAUCUAACUACUUUGCAAAUAACUAACAUCCUUUCAGCCGGAUUAAGCAUACUUAAUACAUUUAGGCCAAAGUGUCAUUAAUAUAAAUAUCAAAAUAAAAUAUUAAGUAAUCUUAUUUAAAAUCAUAUACUUCAAAAUUUAUACUUUCAGAUAACAUAACAAACAUAUUUCAUAAAUAUUUUAAAUUUUAAUGGUCUUUUGUAAAAUGCUACGACUACACUUAACUCCUGUGGCAUAAGUUAAAAAUAAAUUCACAAUUAACUCCGAUGGCACGGGUCAGAAAUAUAUCAAAAGCAACCAUUAGCUACACUGAACAAAUAUCAUAAUAUCACUAUUCUAUAACUGGUGGUGCAAUUAAGAAAUCGAUUUUUAAUCAUAGACUACAUGUCUACAUGGCCAAUAUUUAACCCUCAUUGGCAAGGUCAGAGUAUAGCCAUACUAUGAGAUAAAACAGAAACAUAUUUUUUUAGAUUAUCCAAAUUUCAUAAAAUAGUAUAUUAACUUUCUCAAACAUAUCUCAUACACAUCAAAAGCAUAUUCGUUUCAGAUUAAAUAUAUAUAUUUAUAUUCACGAAACAUAUAUACAUACAUUAUACAAAGUCAUACAAAUUUCAAAAUCAGAAAUCAUGCUUUGCGUAAGCUAAAUUCUAAAUUCAACAUAUAAAACUCAUAUACAUAUACAUUUUGCAUGCUCAACCUGAUUUUAAUGAAUCAUAGAAUAAAAUAUCAAAUAUCAUGUACAAAUUCAUAUUGAGGCUAAUUUUUAGUGUGUUAAAACACUAAAAAGAUAUCAGUCACUUAUUUGAUUUUGUCAAUUUUACUUUCAAGCAACAAAUUAAAAAAUCCUCUUAGUAGCCUAAUAUAACAAGAAAAUACAUACAAAAUCAUAACUAAAUUUGCAAACAAAUGCUACAAGAUGACUAUCGUUGGCCAUCCUAAACACUUAGGGUGUGUAGCGAUUUUUAUUACAAUUUAAAAACAUUUUCGAUUAAUAAGAUAAUAUUUUAUUAUUAUAUAUAUUUUUUAAUUAAUAAAAUUUUAAAUAAAGUUGAGAAUUUAAACUUAAAUCAUACAAUCAGUAAGGAUUUUAAUUUCCGAUAGAAACAUAAUUUCAUUCAUAAAAAUCAUAUUUAUAAUUUUUCAUUAAUUUUUGAUAUUUUAAUAAAAUCUACUAAUUUAAUAAAUAAAUUUAUAAAAUAUAAAGAUAUAUUCUUUUAGAUAUAAAAAUACAGUAAAAAACACAUAUCCAAUCUACAACAGAAUUUAUUAAACAUUAAUUAAUAAUUAAAUUAAAAAAAAUUAUUUUCUGAAAUUUUUCAGAAUCUAGAUAGCCAUUUGGCCUAUUUUGAGCCAUUGUAACUCCUAACCCAAAUUGUUUCCAGUGGUAAAAUCAACACCAAUUUGAAGUAUUCAUAUCAUAUUGCAUCACCAAAAUUUGUUUCAAUUAAAAAGAAUACAAAAUUCCCAAGUUUUGAAAGCCAAAAUUUUAGAAAUCAUCACAAAAAUAUCUAAAUUUUUAAGUUUUCAGUAUCAAUAAACUAUUUUGAGGCUUUAAUUCUCUUAACACAAGAAGCCCCUAAUCGAGCCAUUAAUAUCAAAUUAAACACCUCAUUUCAUACUACAAAAGCCUUCAAAGAGACGACCUAAAAUGUUACUAGAAUAUGAAGUUUCGGUGACCCAAAUUUGGUUUAUCAAAACUAUUAAAAAUCAAGUCUCCAAUUAACUUCGAAAAUUCGUAUUUUCUUAACCACAAAGCCAAACGAGAUGUUACAAAAACCAUUGAAAAUAUCUUUUCAAUAUCUUUCCAUUGGUACCCACCAUGCCACUGGAAAGUCAUCAGAAGAAUAUCGAGUUUAAAUAAAAGUUAAGAAAAUACAAUUAACUUAGGACUUUUGUAUCCAAAUUAUGAAAAUUACAACCCUAAACAUACCUUAAUAAGCAAUCCCUUAAAUACAUUUUCCUUUUCUCUAUCUUUCUUCUUCCUUCUGACUGACUACUUAUCUUUUGAGAUAAAUUAGUAUGAGUUUUCUGCCUUUUCUUUUAAAACUUAUAAACUAACCCAACUAUAUUAUUUUUUUUAAACGUAAUUUAGUGAGUUACUAUCUGGUAAAAUAAACUGACAUUUACCCCACUAAUUUAAACGUGAUAAAUAAAACUGACAUUAAUUAAACUUUUUUAUUUACUUAAAGACCUUUUUUCUAUUUUUUUAAUUAUUAAGGCAUCCAGGAUUAUCACUGUAAAUAAAUAAAAUAUUAAAACAACAUUUACUUAUUUAUUUUUAUAAAACUAUAAUUUAAUAAAUUUAAAUAUUUUUAUAAUAUAUACUUUGUGAGGAGUAUUACAGUCAGCUAAUCCAUAGCAAAACGAAAUACAUUAAUGUUGAUAAUAAUAGCUGCUUGUUUGAAGCCUGAAGGAAAUUAUAAUGGUUGUUGUCAUGUUUAAUAAGCAUUAAUUAUAAAUUAAUGAGGAAUUUUUUUUAUCCCUAAAUUAAAUAUCCCUUCACAAGGAAAAACAUGUUUAUUAAAAUAUAUUGCAGUGUCGUGUACAAAAGAAAAGUAUAGACUAUAGUUUUAAUAAAAGUCAACUAUUUGGGUUGGAUUGGAGUGUUUGAUUUUGUAAAGAAGUUCCUGUAGCAGUUCAGAAUUACAGAACAUUUUCCCUAGCGUAGCAUAAAGGAAAAGAAUAGGAAUAAUUUUUGUAAUCUCUAUGAACAAAAGCACACAAUCCUGUGUACGGCAAAAGCUAGUUCGUUCCAGUUCUUGUUAGGCAAUCUUUCGGUUCUUCUUAAUUUCCAUCAUCGAGCCUGCAGGAAUCUACAUGCUUUCAAGCAUUCAAAGCCUCCAGUAAGUUAAUUUAGGUAUGGCAAUCUAAAAUGGGUUUUAUUUUAUCUAUGGCGUGAGGAGUAUGAGCAGCUCAGAGUUGACUGACGACUGGAUAGGCUAGAGUCUGAAGUUAUCCACUUUAACUUAUUCCCAAUUUUUAUGGUCACCAUGUCUUUGGUAAGAUGAUAUGACCAACUCACUGUCCCUUGCGUCCUUGUCUUCCAUGCUUAUAUCAGAGGAUGCGGUCCAUUGAUUUCACUUCCAAACCAAGUUGACGAAACAGUAGAAGGCUUUCACCACGAAUGCUAGGCCCCCAGAGCUGGAGCAAGAGACAAAAGGCAAAAUAUUGCUUGACAAUGAUUCAAGACAGUGAAACCAGAUAUAGCAGAGUUGGAAAAUUCAAUUGCCAGAUGAUGCAAACAAUUCUGAUUGUUUGUCAGCUUGACAUCUUCUUGUUGGUACAAAGUUGCUUUUAUGUAAUAUGAAAGUGAAGGCCAAAACUUGUUCAAAAAGCAGCGCCAAGCUCGCAUUCAUGGUUGACAAACUAUAAGAAGGUGAGAUCGAAAGGCAGAAAGAUUCUUAAGAUGACAAUACAAAACCAGCCAAAGGCUAACAAGCCAAAUUUUGGAUGUUGGUCCCAAAUAUUUGGUCUCCAUUAUUCUACAUCACCUUUAUACUUUUAGCCCUCCCCCUGAUCUAUACUCUCAGGUAAGAGUCCACUAAAAUUUUGGGCAAAAGAUAUUGUUCUUUCCGUUAUGCUUACUGUUCUAUUAGUGGAAUGGGAACUGCAACUAUGGAUGAUUAUCUCACUAGUUGCUUAAGCUACAACGCACCACGAUUAUAUAUGGCACAUGCAACAAAUCAGAUUUAGCUUUUGACAAAGUAGUAUUUGGAAUUAAAUACUCAUAUAUAUCACAAUUUUUCCUAAAAGAUGAAAUGAAUGUUGUCAUGAAUCGAAAUAAGAACAAAAAAAGAUAUACAAUAAGUUAAUACAGGAAUUAUGAGCAUCAAGAAUUGUCUAGUUUCACCAAUAUUAAUCCGGCAGGCUCAAGAGUGACAAGUGUAGUUUGUGAAAACUAAUCCAUUGUUCUACAAGUAAUUAAACAGUAGUACAAGCAAAAAGGCGUUUGAAUGGAGGAAUAUGUGUCAGUUGCUGUCAAUAUCUUUCUGAUAACGGCUAUAUUGGAGGAAACGAAGGUUUCGAUCUGGCUAGAAACCAAACUUUUCAGCUAAAAACGUCGAUCAAGCAGCCAAUUGUUGAACAGUUGUGCAAUUCUAAGUCCCAAUAAAGUGAAAGGAUGAUGAGACAGAUUGUAUGGCAUUAAUUUUAAAAUGGUAUCAUUCUUUUGUACUUCUACAGGGAGUGCGGACUAAAUGAUUUACGUGAAGAAUAAGUGCAAUAAAGGGUAGAGUUAAAUAAUCAAGGAUUCAAUCCAAACUCCACGGAGGGAAAAGGCUGCAACAAAAGUGGUGCCUCAGAAUAAUUCCUCUCUUUGAGGUUUAUAAUUAUAAAAAAUUAAAUAUGUAGUUUCCACCGUGGAAAUUACUAAUGCCAUCAAGCAUUGAUUAUUAAAUUGCUAUCCAGCAUGACCAGAUAUCCCCAAAGACACUAUUUGAUUGCCUUAUACGAAUUGGAUGUAACCAUAAUCCUUAAUUUAUCUUUUUUAUUCUUUCCCUUUUUCCUUGACAUUUAAUAUCAUCAAUAAUCAUAAAUUAUCUGAUUUUUUAUUAAAAAAGUGAAUUUUUUUUUUAUCAAAACUGGAGAAAGGUUAAAAAUCUAAAUGCAUAUGCAUCUAUUUAAGCUUUCCAGGUAUAAAAAAAAGUUACUAGAAAUAAGUGUAUUUAGAUUUCAAACGAAUGAUUUAAAUUCUGAAUAAAACAAUUGUAUUUGUGGGUGUAACCAAUUAAUCCUUUUCCAGCAAAAAUGGAAUCUUCUAUAUGAUUUUUCUUACCUUUCCAAAGUAGUAUACUAAUUCCUUUUGCAGAUAAAACUUUGGUGAAAAAUGUUUUUUAACUUUGAAACAUAGGUUUUUGAUGUAAAAUUAUAUUGACAUAACCAGAUUAUUAACUUGGUCCAAUAAAAAGAAAACCAUCUCGAGAUAGAGCAAAAUUAAUUAUUUUGUUCCUAAUAAAAAAUAAUUGCUUUGUUUUAUCAUGAUCCCAAUUUUAAUACAUAAGCUAGAUUUAGUUAUAUUUGCCGUAAAUUGAUAAUCUGAAAUCCAUGUGUCCUGGCCCUUCCCAUUUACAGAUAACAAUGCUAAAAAAUAAAAUAAAAAAAUCUAAUUAAGAUUAUUGAUAAUCAUAUCCCUNNNNNNNNNNNNNNNNNNNNNNNNNNNNNNNNNNNNNNNNNNNNNNNNNNNNNNNNNNNNNNNNNNNNNNNNNNNNNNNNNNNNNNNNNNNNNNNNNNNNNNNNNNNNNNNNNNNNNNNNNNNNNNNNNNNNNNNNNNNNNNNNNNNNNNNNNNNNNNNNNNNNNNNNNNNNAAUGCUAAAAAAUAAAAAAAAAAAUCUAAUUAAGAUUAUUGAUAAUCAUAUCCCUCAAAGACAAAUCUUAUUAAGCAAACCCAAAACCCAGAUCAGAUUUGAAAUCUCAAAUAUGGAAAUGAUAGUUAGGACUAACCAACUUCAGUCCCGGAAAGAUUAACCAAAGCUAGAAAAAUAUGGAACAAUUGUAGAGAAUAUGCCACUUUGGAAAACCAAGAUUCUCACGUAAUUAUUUAUUUUUAAAUGGGAAAAAGAAAAAAGAGAGCGUCCAUAGCAGUUAAAUACGGAACCAACUCCCCUCUCAUCCUUCCCUUCUAUCCAUCACUACCCAUCUCUUCUUCUUCUUCUCUCUCUUUUUUUCUUUCUUCCUUGCAUUAGCUUAUUAAACCAUUGGAAGCUCUUUAUCUAUAUAUAUAUAUAUAUAUUACGAGACGUCUUCUUGUUCUUGUCUAAAUUUACUCAGCUGUGUCUCUCUUUCUUUCAUUGGUUUGCACAUUUAACGUAAGCUUUCUCUUGCUCUUAAGUUAUGGAUUUGAUAUGUAGUAAUGAGUUCUGAUUGAGUCGUAGAUGAUAUUUGAUCACGGAGUUUGACUUCUUUAUGUAAGGCUGUGUGUUGCAUAGAGUUUCGAGAUACGCAAACGAAAUCCAGAGUCCAAAGACUUGAGACUUUUCCGUUUUCUUUUAGUUACUGCUCUUCUACUAGGAUUCUCUCUCUCUCUUUUUACCCUGCAGGUUUUAUUCUUUCUGGUGCUAAAUCUUUUUCAUUCUUCGUUAUGAUUCUCUCUCUAUUUGAGGUUUUCGCAAUGUCCACGUGAAGACAUUCAACUUUGUUUUCCAUUAGGGUAUUCCUGGUAGGGGCGGGGACAGUUCAACCUGGGUCUUUUAUUAGUAUAAGUUUUUUCUUAGAUUAUUUUUAAAAAUAAUAUUUAAAGAUAAGAUAUUUUUAAAAAUAGUUCUCUUUAUAAUUUAAUUAUUUUUAGUUAAGUUUGACAAAAUUAUCUUUAAUGAAAUUACACAUCAUAAUUAGGUUGUUAUAAGUUAUAUACAACCAUAGUUAAAUUGUUACACGUUAUAUAUAAAAAUAUAUUACACGUCAUGUAUAAAAAAUAUUAUUAUUACACAUCAAGUACAAAAACAUGUUACACGUUAUAUUAGAAAAAUGUUAAUGUUCCACAUUAUGUUGAAAAAAUAUUAUUGUUAUACGUCAUGUUGAAAAAAUAUUAUUAUUAAUGCCUAAAAUGUUGUUACUUAUAAACUAAAACUUCAAAUUCUUUCAACUCUAUUCAUUGUUUUUUGACAAUUUGGCACCGAUUAAAAUAUUUCUAACAUGUUUUCAUAAUUCAAAACACAAAUUUUCUUAUCUAAAAUAUCUAUUUCGAUUAAAAAUAAAAAAAAAUUUCUUAGAAAACUUAGGUUUAUAAUUUCAAAUUUUUGAGUAUAUUGGUCUCAAAUUGAUCCAAUUAAAAGUUAUUUCAAACAUCUGUGAUCAUUUCUACCAUUUUAGUUUUAUCCAAAAUACUUAAAAAUUAAAUUUUCCAAGCACAUCAAAAUUAUAAAGAGAAAUCUAAAAGUGUGGGAGAGAGAAAUUGAGAGCAUAGCAGACGAAUGUCGAAGAGAGAAAUCGAUAAAAUUAGAAAGAGCUUGAUGGUGAGAGAGAGAAAUCGAAAGCACAAAUAGAAAGAAAUUGUGUUAAAUGUUUUAAUUUAUUUGAAAUAGUUUCAAGAAUGUUUUUAUCAAGUUAUAACUAAAUAUGAUUAAAAAUAAUUAAAUUUAUUUAAAUAAUUAUUUUUAAAAUGCUUGAAGAUUAUUCUUCACAAUCUUUUUUUUUCUUGGUACAUCAAUUAUUAAGUUUGAGCCAGAUUGCAAAACAUUGAGUGCAAAUCUUUUCACUCUUUGAUGAUUGCUAGGAAGGAGAAGAAAGCACGAAAGAAUCUUUCUGUCAAUCCAAAAUUUUCAGUUCAGUUUUUCUUGUCAAAUAUCCUAAAUUGUAGUUACAUCCUUUAUUUAAUGGAAAUAUGUUAUUUCUAUUAAACUCUUUUGUAGUGUCUUAGUUACACUUUAUUGACCUAAGACUUUGUAUUAUAGUCUCGGUCAUUUUCUCAUCACAUUUAUUUCUUUUGUCAUCUUCUAUCAACCUUAGCGUCUUGAACCUCGAUACAUCCACACGAUUUUGGAAAAGCAUUGCCUUGCCUUUCUAUCUUUUUUUUGUUUCCUUGCACCUUCACACAGUUCACAUGGCUAAUAGUCCUGACUUCAGCUUUCAUCAGAUAUACAAUAAUUGGCACCACCACCAUUGAUCAUGUGAUUUAUUUUUAAUUUCUGUAAUUAUAUUAGUGCAUAAAUUGAUAUUUAAUUCUGUUUUCGCAAUGCUUUCAGUGGAAAACAAACAGAUAGCAUAGCAAAGACUUCUGAUCAGGAGGAAUCGUCAUGGCAAACGACAAACUGCAAGUUCUUAAUGCACUUGACGUAGCCAAAACACAAUGGUAUCAUUUCACAGCAAUUAUCAUUGCUGGCAUGGGAUUCUUCACUGAUGCAUAUGAUAUCUUUUGCAUUUCCUUGGUGACUAAAUUGCUUGGUCGCAUAUAUUACCACAAGGAAGGUGCUGCUAACCCUGGUGAUCUUCCUUCUAAUGUAACGGCUGCUGUUACUGGUGUAGCGUUCUGCGGUACCAUUGCAGGCCAGCUCUUUUUUGGUUAGCUCGGUGACAAGAUGGGACGAAAACGUGUGUAUGGCAUGACCCUUAUGCUCAUGGUUAUCUGUUCGGUUGCCUCUGGCCUUUCCUUAGGCCAUGCCCCUAAAGCUGUUAUGGCUACCCUUUGCUUCUUUCGCUUCUGGCUUGGUUUUGGUAUUGGUGGUGACUAUCCUCUUUCUGCUACCAUCAUGUCCGAAUACGCUAACAAAAAAACUCGUGGUGCUUUUAUUGCUGCUGUUUUUGCCAUGCAAGGUUUUGGGAUUUUGGCUGGAGGGAUGGUUGCUAUUAUAGUUUCUGCAGCUUUUAAGGCUAAAUACCCUGCUCCAACUUAUGAGAUGGAUGCAAAUGGGUCAACCGUGCCAGAAGCUGAUUACGUUUGGAGGAUCAUUUUGAUGUUUGGGGCGCUCCCAGCUUUACUUACUUAUUACUGGCGCAUGAAGAUGCCUGAAACUGCUCGUUACACUGCCUUAGUCGCCAAGAAUGCAAAACAGGCUGCAGCAGAUAUGUCAAAAGUUCUUCAGGUUGACUUGGAAGCAGAACAGGAGAAGCUAGAGCCGAACAAAGGGAGUGAUUUUGGCUUGUUCACCAGAGAAUUUCUUCAUCGACACGGACUUCACUUGCUUGGUACUACAAGUACUUGGUUUUUGUUGGACGUUGCCUUCUACAGUCAGAACCUGUUUCAAAAGGACAUCUUUAGUGCCAUUGGUUGGAUUCCAAAGGCAAAAACCAUGAACGCUCUUGAAGAAGUUUAUAAAAUUGCAAGAGCGCAAACUCUCAUUGCCCUAUGCAGCACUGUUCCUGGAUAUUGGUUCACUGUGGCAUUGAUUGAUAAGAUGGGGAGAUUCAAAAUUCAAUUGAUGGGCUUCUUCUUCAUGACUGUGUUCAUGUUUGCCUUGGCAAUUCCAUACCAUCACUGGACUCUACCAGACAACAGAAUUAGGUUCGUUAUUAUGUACUCCUUAACCUUCUUUUUCGCAAAUUUCGGUCCAAAUGCCACUACUAUGAAUUACUAUGAAUCUUCGAAGUCACAUUAGGGAGUGCAUUUAUGUGUCUUAUGUUGGAGCUUUGGAUGCUGCUUGCACUUCUUGUGUAAUAAUAUAAGAUUUUUAUAUACGCUGUUGAAUGUGAACAUCUCUGAAAUGUCAUUUUUAACAUCUUUAAGAUUUUUUUUUUUAUAAUUGGAGGAGAGGGAUUCGAACCUUAUUUUUUAGGCAAAGAGAUUAUGCACAAACCAAUAAAUCAAAUACUUGGGUGCUUUAACAUCUUCAAGGUUGUUGAUUGGAGAUUUUGCUAAUAAUUUAGCUUAGCAUUUGAAGAAGAAAAAUUGUUUGCUUCAACCCUAUUUGAUGAACACAAUAUUGAAGAAGAAGCUCAUCAAUUGAAAUCGAAAUAUGUUUGUACUCUAGAGCCCAUCCAAAAAAGGAAUUUGGAUUUUAAAAUUCAAAACCGUGGUCUCAAAUUCACAACAAUGCAUUCUCUUGCUCUAGCUUGUUUUAGUGCAAUCAGAUGAGUUCGUACUUUUAUGUUAUAAUGUCUGUUUAUGUGUAAACAACUAUGUUUAUAGUAUCAAACUUAGUUAACCUUACUGUUUUUAUAUUUUAAUAGUUUAACUUACAUCAAUGUUCUCUUACAUAUGUCUCCUAGAGUCUGUCCAUUGUUGUUCGGAAGACAUUUGAUUGCUAUGGGAGCGAGCUUCUUCCGAAGGUAACCACGAGAGCACAUGGAAAAGAUGUCAACCCUGACAUUGGAAGUUCUUGCUAGCUCUUGAUUUGCCAUAGGAACAGAGAUUAGCCAGCUAGUUAUUGUCCAUGUAGAACCAAAGAUGAACAUGACAAAAAAAACAGAAAGAAGCCUGCCUGCUAGAAUAAACGCUUGUUUUCCUCCUUUGAUAUUUUAGCGGAUGAAUGAUUGGUGGAUUCAGUUUUCCUCCCUUGAGGAAGUAAUUGAUAUAUACUUCUCCUAUUUUCUUAGCCAAAGGAAAUAAAAGAAGGGAAAAUAAGAUAAAGUAAUUGGUGUCCACUUCUCUCUUUUUCCUUCAUAUUCUUCUCAUUUCUUAUAUUAUAACAAAACUAUAAUUUUUAUUUUAAGCUUUAAAUCAUAAAUAUAUAUUUAUUAUAAUUAAGAGUAUGGGAACAUUUAAUCUGUCUUUUACCAUGUUAAAAAUCAUCGUCACAAAAAAUUGUUUUCUAAAAUAUUUAACAUCAUCAUAAUAAUAUUCCUAUCUUUAAUUUUUUUUAUAGAAUAUUCAUCUUUGAUAUUUAAUUGGUAAUUGCAACAGAAAAUAUUUUAAUAUAACUACGGACGACGGUACGGCCCACCCACGUGAAUCAAAUGGCCUUUUUGUUUUUAUGUUCUUUUGGGAGAUUGACAGAUUUCUUUGCUUUACACUGCUCUUUCUGUGAAUGCCACGUACUUCACAUAAAAAUAUUUUGUUUCCAGAAAACGUGUCAGAUGAAAUUAUUUUCUUUUUUUUUCUUUUUUCAUUUGUUCUGAUUACACGUGCUUUCUUUUCUUCCCUCUAAAUUUGAUCUUCGUUUUUUUUUUUAAUUUAUAAAAUCAUAAGUAUUAAAUUUUUUUUAAUAAUUAUAUCAGAGUAUUUGAUUCAUUAGUUAAUAUAUGAUCCCUGUUUAAAGAGUAAAAAUUCAAAUCUUCCCUCUCUAAUUAUCAAAAAAAAUAAAUUUCUUUAAUAAUUGUUUUAGAUUAAUAAUCUAUCUAUCUAUAUAUAAAAUAGAAGAUCUAAAGGAUAGAGUGUUAUGAAUUUCGAAUGAGUUUUGAAUUUAUAUAUAAAAAUUUUCAUUUAUCUGAUAAUUUAUAUUUUAAAUUAAAAAUAUGAAUUCAUGAUAAUUACAUCAUGUUAUCAAAUAAUUAAAUUUUAUAUUGAGAUUUUUUUUAUUUUUACGAGAAAUUUGAAAUCAAAAGAAAAUUCAAUUUUUGAGUUUCAGGUCUUGGUGAUGUGCUACAAUCAGGAGAAAAAAGAGAGGCAAACUGAUUGAUUAAUUAAUUGUUUUUCACUUUCAACAAAAAUGGAGUUAAAAAGACAAAAACACUGAAAUUCCCCUUGCUAUUGGAUCAAUCCAACCCCUACGAUCCUUUCCAAAUCUAUGGCCAAUAAGAUUGAGACAUAAAGAGAGAAAGUGCUCGGGACUGAUGGGUACAACCCAACGCCAUCACAAUAAAGUUUUUGGCUCCAAUGCACUGGCUACAAACACGAUGUUUCUCCCACUAUCCCAAUGGACACUCUGUUUUUACCAACACCAUUGCCUUACACAAUUACACAAUUGAGAUAAUAACUAAAGAUUUACAGAUAAAAAAAAGAUUCAAAAACGGAUUAGUAGAUAUUUAGAAUUAGGUUAAGAGAUUCUUCACGAUAAUUUUUAUUGAAAACUCCGAAGCUUAUCCUUCGCAUACAUCAUUAGGGUAUUUGCGAAGAACAAAAACACCCACUUCCAAUCAGUAAUUCUCAUUCCUUUGUCAUUUAGUUAUACACACUCUUCUCAAGCUUACCAAAAACACUCGCCUCUUCUACGAAAAGAAGAAAUGGAGAAGAAAAAACAAAGCUUCCUUGGAAUUAACAAAAAUUCAUCCCCUUUUAACCUCUAUAUACAAUACAGUAGCAAAUACCCCUUCAAAUAUUAAGGCCUUGAGAAAAAAGCUUCGAAAUUCAGCCUCCAGUUGUUAUCCAAGGAUGCCCUGUAAAAUUUAAAACAAAUUAAAAUUUAAAUUCUAAAAAUUAAUGGGUAUUUUUCUUCUUUCCCUAGAAAGAAGAAAGAAAGAGAAACUAAUAAUUGGAACAUGUGGAAAUUUGAGCUUACUUAGAACUUGUUCAGCAGAGAAUCUUCUAGAAACAUCUUUGCAGAGCAUUUUUCUCAGAAGAUCCUUAGCCGCCGGCGACACCGAUUGGAAGACCCUGACAGGGAACCUCAGAUUCCCUCUCAAAACCGCCUCAAAAAUCUCCACAACCGUUUCCCCAUAAAACGGUGGAAACCCCGCCAACAUUAUGUACAGAAUGACACCGCAACUCCACACAUCAACUUUCUCCCCGUAUUCCCUCCCGUUCAAAACCUCCGGCGCCACGUAAUACGGGGUCCCCACCACCCCUUGCAUAGCCUCCGCCGCCACUUCAGCGGAACCGAAGUCCGUUAGCUUAACGGAAUUUUUGGAAUCGAACAGAAUAUUCUCCGGCUUGAUAUCACGGUGGACGAUGCCGAGCUUGUGAAUGUGGGCAAGGGCUUGGAUGAGCUGGGUCAUGAUGGGUCGAGCUUGGGCUUCCGAGAAGGGACCAUUGUGGAUGAUGAGAUUGUAAAGGUCUUGAGAAGGAGGGCAGAGAUCGAGGACCAUGUGGAGAUGAGAAUCGUCUUCGUAGAGGUUGUGGAGGUGAAUUAUGUUCGGGUGAGGUGAAACUAAAGCAAGGAUUUUCGGCUCGUUGAAGAGACAUUGGGAGUCAAGAGAAUCGCCGGUGGAGAUUAUACGUUUGUCGAUGGAUUUAACGGCGAAUGAUUCGCCUGAGCUCAAUGAAACGCACCUGAAAACGACGCCGAAUCUUCCCCGGCCGAUCUCUUCGCAAACCUCGUAGCUUCUCUUCAAUGCUUCAGUCAUGGUUUCCCCUUUUCUUCCAGUUGGCCUUUAUUUCUUUUUUAAUAUUAGCAGGGGGUAUAAGUAGAGGGUUCAAGGAAUGUUUGGGGAAUAUUCGGGGUAGCGAAUAGGAAGACGACACUUGCUGGGAUCGAAGGGUGGGAGAUACUGUGACCGUUUGUAGACUUUGGAUCCGAAAGCUGAAGUCGGUUGUCAAAUGGAAUUACGGGAAUGCCCCUAUUUUAGUCGACGUGGAAUAUCCGUACAGGAAGAAGUCCUUUGGCUUUGGGUUCGGUUUGGCAGUUGUAUGGUUCGAGUCGUAGUUAGAUACUUUUGGGUUAGGAAAUUUGGGAACAGCAUCCCGCGAAGUGGGGGCUGUUCUUAAGUUUGCCCAAAUAUUUUCGCCUUAAUUACCAUGUGUGCCAUCGUUCUCGAAUACAAAAACAAAUUAAUUAAUAAGAAUUUAUUAUUAUAUUAAAUGUUAAUAUUUGAUUUGAUAUCAUGUUCGAAAUAUUUUAGAUUUUCAAAAUUCUUUAAUUGUUUAUUUAAUUUAGUUUUAAGUUCUUUUAUAUUUUUUUUAUAAUUAAAGAGGAGAAAUUCAAAUUUAUUUUUUAAUUAGGAGGAUAAUGCACUAAGCAAUGAGUCAAAUACUUGAAUGCUUCUCUAUAGUUUAUAUUCUUUAUUUUUCUUAUAAUUACCCAUUCCUUAUUUAAUCUAGUUUAAUUAAUAAAAUUUUUUCAAAAAGGUAUAUUAAUAGCAUUGCAUGCUGAAAAAAGAAAGUAUCCAAUAAAAUUAAGGAAUUCAUUAUAUUUGAUGUGACAAAUUUGUGAAGGGCAUAAGAUCAUCAGUAAUUGAUGAAACUUUACUUAUAUGUGGUUAUGACUUGAAUAAUGAGAACAAUGUCAUCAUGGUAUUUCUAUUUCUCUCUUUUUCUUGUUAGGAAUUUUUUUUUGGAGAGGAUUAUAUUAGUUAUUUGGUUUAUAUUGGGAGUUUAAAAAUCUUCUGUCACUAAAAAAGGAAUUUAGAAUCUUCAUAAAUAAGUUUGAGUUAAUUUUGAAUUUUUAUUGCGUAUCUUAUCCAACUGAAUAUGCUGAUUUUAUAAUUUUUAAUAUAUAUUUUAUUUAUAAUUAAACAGAUACAUGGUAGAAUAUAAACUUUGUGAAUCUAUAUACGAAUGGAUUGAUGGAACAAGUAUUAUGACUAAUUAAUUAGGACAAUAUAUCUAUUGCAAAAGAAAAUUUGAGGACUACCUAUUAAUUAAAUGAAAGCCAAAAAAUUUUUUUGUGUGUUGAUAAUGUUAUAAACCUGUAUAACAUGAUGAUAAUUUAUCAUAAUAAGGCUUGCAUUGGAAUAUCUACGGACUUGAAUGAUCAGAAGGUAUGACCAUCAAUAUUUUGUUUGUUUCUUUUUUUGGAAAUUGCUUGGUAUUUUCGUGACAUAUGGGGGGCUAGGGCCACCACUCAAGUCAUGAAAAGUCAGGUGCUAACAUGCAAAGAUUUGUCUCCCAAACAUGAGCUUACUGUUGGAAAAUGGCUUGACAAGUGAUGAGUUCCACAAUAAUUUCAAGCAAGAAAAAUAUAUAUUCCACCUCCAUUUACCAGAAGAAAAGAAAGAAAAAGCAUGGAAUCGACCAAGUAUUGCUGUAUGAUUCAGAUUUUUUGUGUGGAUCUAGCCAGCACUUCCAUGCCUCCAAAGCAAAGUUUCCUUUCAUCUUUUUAUAGACACAAAAAAAAAAAAAAGGACCGUGAAAACAUCACAAUUCUAGUUAAAGAAAUUGCCACUAGGGAUGACAAUGAUGUCUUGCCAAUUGCCAUGUAGGAGAGACAACGCCAAUGUCAAAAACAAUUUCAGACCAUUUGAAGCUUUUUGGUUGGAGCUCAUUACGGGCAAACGAGCGCAAGUGGGGCACCUUUAACCAAAGAAAUCUGUGAUGAAGUCGUGAGGGAAGGGACAUGAGGCUUUGCUUUUCAUUGACUUUUCGAGUAAGCAAGGGGUGUGUAACACACAGUCACCCAUUUCAUAUAUAUAUAUAUAUCUAUUCCUACGGAGUCCGGACAAUGUAAGGUAGAAGGCAAGGACGAUCAUAGAAAUACGAAAUGGGUAACUGUGGGUUAAAGAGUUGGUGUAAUGCUUUCGUGCUUGGACCAUUCACCAAAUUUUGUUGAAAGAAAGGAAGAAGGUAAUUGAUUACUUGGUGGACAAAUGUCAAAAUUAUUCUAUUCCUCUUUUUCUAAUCAAUUAACAUAGAUUACGUUUUCUUUUCAUAAAGAAAAAGGAAGAAUGGCAGAAUUACAAGGCUGUUUGGGGCUUACGCCAACAAACAAAUCAUAAGAACGCAGAUAAUUUCUUCAUACUUUGUUUUCCAGCUCCUCCGAGAUGGGGAUUUCAGUGUUCUAAUAGAAGCUAGCUAGCUUCUGCAUCUUGUUUUCGUAACCAAGAGUCAGCUUCCUUUGAAACUGUGGAAUCUUUUACACGUAAACUUGCUCCUCGUACAAGUUAACAAGUCAACAUACUAGACCUGAUUUCACGACCAUGAACCAAAAUCCCAAUUGGCUUAUGUCCAAUUUCUUUGUUAGUUUAUGACUUAGCUUCAGAGAAAUUAAUAAAGUCUUUAAGACUUCACUGUCACUCGCCGCAUUGCGUCCCCAAUUGAAAAUUUAUUUCGAAAGUCUCAACGUAGAGACCGAGGACCCUAGUCCAUGUGGAUUGACAGACCUAGGAAGCUCAGCACAAAGCAAAAUAUCCCACUAGUAAUAAACUACUUUUAUGGCCAGCCUGAUUGUUGUCAUUCUUGUCUCCUACUUCUUUCUUACUUUCGUCUGAGGACAACAAUAUGGUGAGUCAUACAGCAGUUUCCAGUGAAUUUCCAUGCGAGAUAAUGUUUUGAUGGGGUCACUUUGUUUUUUUCCAUGUUUUAUCAUUGUAAUUUACUGGCAAAGGAUUGGCAGUGCUUUCAUGUCCACCAAAAACCAAAGAUUUGUACAGAUCAAUGACCACCCAUUUUUACUUGCUUGUGUUGUUUGCACCAACGUUAAUUGACUGCAAUUCCUCAAUUUAAAAUGGUUAUAUAUGAUUCCUUUUGGAUAUAUAGUUGCUCACGUAGGCACCAUGCCGCUUCUAGCAGUAUAACAAGGACAAAGAACUAGGAUUAAUAAACAAACAAACAAAAUCCCUCCAUGGAAUUAGUGUCAUGGUGAGUCAUCGAACCAUUCAUCGUAUUUCCACGAAUUUCAUUUCAUUACCUAAUCCACAUUCUGAUUGGCUUUGUCUUGAUCUAGCAACCCUUAAUCAAAAUCCAAUUACUUAAUUUAAACAAAGUAAUCUUAAUCAGCCAUUGAUAAUGUCCUUGGACGGCCUUUGUCGUAACCAAAAUUCUAAAUCCCCAGAAGAUACCAUACGUUAGUAUGAACACAGUAUUUCCAGCUGUCGAUUAAUGUGUUGAUAUUUUCCAGGAAUGAAUUUUGUUUAAGCAAGCUGAUGAUGAUGAGGUUUUUGUAGUUUUAUGGCUGAUUGAUGAGGUUGGAUUCAAGGUUUGACAUAAUUUAUCAUAGAUAAAACUUUUGGGGACAAAAACGUUUUCCCUACGAUACUUAUUAAAAGCAAUCAACCUUAGAAUUAUUGUCCACAAUAUUAUUAUAAUUAGUAUUUGCAUACGCUAAUUGACAAAAUAGUCAACUUACUCAAACAAAAGGAUUCCAUUUUGCUAAUCUACGCAACUUCUUGGCUGGAAAUUAGCAAUAAAGACAUUUUAGAAUAUGUUAUAACUCGAUUAUGCACUCACAAGACAAGAGCGGAAUUAGGAGUUUUUCUUAGUGAUGUCAUAUUUUAAAUUUUUUUUUUCAAUCUUAGAUUUAUUGAGGGAGUACUCAGAUCAAAUUCAACAUGACUUUACUUAGAAGAAUAUUAUUAAAUAUCAUGGUUAGUAGAAUUUUGUUGUUAUUAUUCAGGAUUUGAGUCUUGUGACACAAAUUUUUUUUAAAAUAUCUUUUCAUGAUUUAUUUAUUUAAAAGUAUAAAACUAGUUAAAAAUUACUAUUCAUUAGUAAAAAUUAAAAUAUUAAAAUUAAAUAAAAUAUAAUUUUACAUAAUAAAUUAUCAGGUUUAGUGACUAACAAUAUGACAAUUUUCUAUUCAUUAAUCAAAACUAAAUAUAACCAUCCACAAACCACAUAAAGUUUAAUACAAAAAUCAAAUAAUAUAUCUACAAAAUAAAUAAAUAUAAAGAAAGACUCACAAUUUCAAGAUAUUAUUUGACUUGUAAUACUAUAUUUUCUAUUAGUUGGAUUAUAAUUAUGAAUCCAAAUUAUCAAACUAAUCAAGAAAAUAUUUAGACAUGAAGUAUUUAAAAACUUAAUUUGGGUUGAAAAUUAUUUACAAUUGAAGUCUAGAUGAGUUGUUUUGACAGAAUGAAAAACACAUUUCGAGGACCAAGAAGGGGAAGGAUUUGAAUUGUUAGACAGAGAAAGUAGUUUAAGUUUUAACUUUUUUAAUAAAAUCUUAAAUUAUAAAAAAAAAAAAUUUUAUCUUUCCUUACAGUAUUUAAAUAUUAAUACAUAAAUUACUUAAUUUUUGAUAAAUCAUUUUUACUUGGAGUCUUUGACCACACUUCUUGUAAAAUUGUAAAAAAAAAAAUGAGUUCAUUAGUAUAUUAACUACCCUAAAUCUCGAAUAAAUUGUGUAAAAAUUAAAAUAUUUUAAGAAGUGAGUGGUGUCAUGUGACACCACUCCUUCCAACAUGGGUCCGUCAAUGCUGCAAGGUUAAUUACGGGUUUACAAUACUUUCAAACAUUUGAUGAUGAGUUUUUUUUUUUCCACAUAUACUGUAAAAAAAUUCUUUUAUUUAACUAAAACGAAAAUGUAAAUGCAAUCACACUCAAUGUCAACUGUUUUUUUUUUUUUUGGUCAAUAUGAUAGCUGACUAGGCAAGUCGACAUGAUCACAUGACAGAUCCAAAACUCAAAAUAACCUUCUCUACUUUUCUUUAAUUGGAGUAUUUUUUCUAAAAUCCUCUUCUUUUUCUCCAAGCCUGGAAAAAUAGAAUAUUUAAAUAUAAUAAAAUUUCAAUUUUUUUGAAAUUUAAAGAAAACAUGUUUUUUUUUAAAAAAAAAACUAUUCCAAUUAAAGAAAAAAAGGAGGAGAGAAGUGGAAAAUAGUUUCUUUUUAGUGAUACCGAUUACCGAUAAUUUUGAGUUCUGAUUUUGUCAUAUGAUCAUCUUAUCCAAUUAUGUCAUAUAUCACGUGAAUAAAAAAUAUUAGUUGACAUUGGGGUUUGCCGACAAUUAAUUUUUCAUUAAGAUUAAGAGUUUAUUUGAUUUAAAUUAAAAAUUGAAAAACUGUUAUGAACCCCCAAUAAAAAAUUGAAAAGCUUAAUUGAAUAAACGGGUGUAGUACAUAAACAUUUUUAAAAAAUUUAAACCUUUUUUAAUACAUUAGGAAGAACACCAAUUAAUAAGCAGAACAAAUUUUUUUAUGCGGAGUUUGUUCGAACUUAAUUUAUAAUGUUAUUAUGUGGACUACUAUAAGGGGUAAAAACAUUCAACUAUCAUUGUAGUUAAACAGGUUAUUUUCAGAAUUUAAUGUUUAUUUUCUUACUCGAAAGUUAGAAUAAUAUGUAAUUUCGUAAAAUGUUUCCCCACACAUAAAGGGCCCAGCAGAAAUUGGGCUUAAGCCGACCGUUCUAGACCCGCAAGCCGAGAACAUCCGCCCACCGUUACCCAAAAUGAGGCCCAAUAUGUGGCCCACUAAGCCCACUUCCGUUGUUAGUGAGCAACUCCCACAGGUUGGGAGACUGUUCAAUUUUCUUUCCCCUCCUACCAAAUAUGGUCUUAUGAUCAGCGUAGAGACAGUUGUUUUGAAUGAAGUGCAGUCGGUAGAACCUGAUGCAAUACGACCCAAACUCCAGAAAACAGAUGUGUGAGGGCAUAAUUUCUCACUCUCAACCUGCAUCAGAAUGCAUUUGUACAUGCGGCAUUUUUUGGCCUGUCUCUAUCAUUCCAAGUAACUAUGUAUGCAACCAUUCCUCAUAAACAUGGAUUGACUGAUCCCAGAGGCACAAAAAUACUAGAUUUCAUAAACCACAACAACAAAACUAAAGUCCAUCAAGUGCAAAACAGCUUACUAGACUUACUAAAUGUCCUGGAUUACAUUCAUCAGAGGUAUAAGAGGGUAGAUAAAAGAUAAAGACAGCUUUGUUUAUUUGCUACAAGACCUAACCUUAAUUACAUACGUAUAAACUUGUUUGCAAGAACGUAUGGGUGGGAUCGUUGUAUACUAGGAGCAACAGCUAAAAGGGCAGGAUAUGCAGACAGCCGAUUAGAGCAUGUGAUGGGAAACAUUGAGUUAGACGGGCCAAAAUGAAACAGAGACCUCUUUGAUUUUCUUGAUCAGUAGGACAUUGCCUGGGAAUAGGAGAGAGAUACCGGCACUAUUAUCUCAUAGCUCCUGCAAAGUUCAUAGUAUGAAAUUUCAACAGAUGUUUUUGAAGUUAGAAUGACUGACGUUCCUAUGUUUUUCUCUCUAUUUUUUGCCAUGAAAAAGCCAUUCUGAGAUAAUUUCAUUUGAAGUCAAGCUGAAACUUUAUAAAAAAUCGAUCUGAGGGCUUAAUUUCUUAGCACAAUAAUGCGGAUUCUUUAAUCAUUAAAAUGGUUUGAAACAGCAGUAAUAGGCUUGGAAAAUUUGGAUCAGAUUCAUUGGUUGGUACAUAAUCCCCCUGCCUAAAGAGUGGGGUUCGAAUCCCCCCUAAUUAUUAAAAAAAAAAAAUGGUUUGAAACAGAAGUUAUAGGCUUGGAAAAUCUGGAUCAGUUACAGGAACAGCUUUGUUAGUAGAGGUUUGACAACAUGAUUUCUAUUCUCUUAGUUUCUCCCCUUCUAUAUUCAACAUCUUUCCAACUUUACAUAGCAAAGCAACAAAGACACUGCAAUCUUAGAGUAAGUUUGCAAAUGGAUAAGAUUUGUUGCACCAUCAUAUUUUCUGCUAUUAGCUCUAUUCCUUUGCUUUAUUUGUUUUCAGAAAGUAUAAACCAAAAUGGUCGUGAUGAGAACAAAACACAGACAGCAAAAUAUUAGUUUAGCAUACUAGUUUACUUUUCCAGUAAAAUGCAGCAGCAAUGCCCAUAACCAAGCAAGCUGUGGUUUGUUUGAAGUGUUGAAUGAUUGAAGGAAGUGUUCUGAAUAGCCAUGAACAAAUAUGAUGUACUUACCAAAACAACUUAGCUAUUUUCUUUUCUUGAAGAGUAGUUUAUUGCAGGAAAUUACGGAAUAUUGUUCAAGGUCAUGGAUUAGUAUCAUAUCAAAAUUUCUAGUGGUCAUUUACGUGAAAGUACACUAAUUUCACUUACAUCUAUCAUGAUCGUAAUUCAUGACACUUUGGCUCUUAUAAAAAGGCUUAAGUUUGCAGCUUGGAUCAAUCUCAUAUAUUAGACAGAUAAUCAAAAGAACUAGAAACGGAUGCAAGGCUUUGCAGCUUCUCAAGUAGCCAAACUAUAAAUUAACUGCAGUUACUUACUGUUUUUGCUUGAAGUCUGAUCCAAGUCAAUCUUUUCUUGCCAUGAUCGCCUCAGAUCAGAAGAUUCAUACUCCUGCAAAGGUCUGCCAUCAGAUGAAGAACAAGAUUGGGGAACAGAGAAUGAGAUUCUGCUAGUACUCUGCCCCUUCGAUGCUGAAGAUUCAGCUGUCGAGCAUAAGUCUUCUUCUCCUCGUGAGGUCCCUGCUCCUUUAUUCUGAUUUUUCAAUUUAUCUGCAUUCAACCUUUCUUCUUCCACAUAUUUUGCUCUCUUCCUACGCGAUGAACCAUUGUUGCAAUUUUGAAAUGAUGGCACCCUCUGAUCAUUAGAUGAAUAUGUUGGACAAGAAGAUUUUUCCUUCAGGAUAACUUUUGGGAUGGCGGAAGUUUCAAUACCAUCAGAAUUAUCAAAAACUUCUUCACUCAUCCCAUCUGAAGUUGCAGCCUUUGCAGCUGCUUCCAUUUCCCACAUUUUAAAGAUGGCUUCAGUCAGAUGUUCCCUAGCUGUAUCCAUAUCUAUUAUAGGUUUUGGAUAGUUUAAGCCCAACUCAACACCUGCAGCUUUAAGCACAGUAGGAGGUGCAUCCCAAGGAUGAUGUAUCCACUCAGUUGGCAUCCUUGCUAGCUCUGGCAGCCAUUGCCUUACAUAUUCACCUUCUGGAUCAAAUUUGGAGCCUUGAAUCUAACUCCAAAAAUCAACAUAAAAUGAGGCCAAAAGAUAUGAAACAUAACUUAUAGAUUCAAUUGACAAGAUCUAUCUAUAUUUUUAGUAAUGCUUAUUAACACAAGUAAUUUUCCUCAAUUAGAAAAUUUGCCGACUGUUUACUAAUAUCAUUUGCUUUUGCAGAUUGGGAAUCAUUCUAAGGAAAGGAUCAUAUUUCAAAAGUUCGUAUAACAUAUUGUGGCAACUUCAAUGGCACAUCUAUAACUGAUUAUUUUAUUCAUUGUAAGGAUGAGUUUGCACUUUUAAACUAUCUGAGUAGGCAGAAAGUUAUGUUAGAUUUGCAAACUGCAACAGCAGUCCAAAAUUAGCAGGCCUUUACCUAUAUUUCCAAACACUGAAACUUGAUGAAGAUACUAACUAACACACACAACAUAAUCAGAUGCAAAUGAGUGUAAAAUCACAAGUUACUGUAAAUAUAAAAUGCAUGGCCUCAGAAUUGAAGGAACCGGAGAUAUUUGUUGUACUCUGCAUUAGAUUGCUACUUAUAUUCAAAGUUAAUAAAUUAAUUAGGGAACUCACACACCUGUGGGCUGUCUAAUCGUUCUAGCUCAUGACCAUCUGGUAAGCUCCCAGAUAUGUACUGCCAACCAAGAAUAUCGCAUUCCAAAUCUGCAUCCAAAAGUGUGUCCCAGAAAUACUUCAUUCCCCAUUUCCAUGGAAGAAGAAGAAACUUCACUGCAAAACUUGAAACAAUCACUCUUAUUCUGUUGUGUAUCCAACCAGUUGCCCAAAGCUCUCUCAUUCCUGCAUCUACCAAUGGAUAGCCAGUCCGACCUUGUCUCCAAGCCUUAAAAUGGUUCACAUCAGCAUGCCAAGGAAAAAACUUCAAGUUGCUCAACAAUGAUCGCUCAUGAGUGAAUGGAAAAUUGAAACAAAGAUAACGGGAGUAUUCUCUAAACCCAAUGGCCUUUAGAAAAAGUGUUACACUUUCUUCUCCUUGAGAGUUCUGUUCUCUUCUCCAUAGUAUCUGCUUCAUCCGUGCACACUGGAAAACUUUCCUUACACUUAGCUCUCCAAAAUGAAGAUACGGGGACAAAAGUGAUGUGGAGUUGCCCCCAACCUUUAGCCUAUUAUUUGAAUAGUUGAAUAGAUUCUGUUCAACAAACUCAGUUAGAGCCUUAUCAGCAUUGCUCCAACCUGGAGACCAUCCUCUUCCUAACAAUGCAUUGCUAGAUUUUUCAGAUUCAUUUUCAAGGCCCAAAUCUUCAAGAGAGAACCUUUCUACUGUUCCUGUCACUAAUAAGGAAAGAAUUCAGCAAAUAGUUACUCAUUUUGCAUGUAUACAUCACACACAGGUCCUUCAUACAUAUUUCAUCUUCGUUUUCGUCACAGUCCUUUGUACAUAAAUACAUAUUAACUUACACUGUGCAUGUUUUGCAUGACAACUUCAUAUGCAUCUAAGGAAAACAGUCUAUCAGCAGCUCAAGGUCAUAUUUUUGCCCCUAAGAAUGAACAAAGUCAUGACUUCUGUAGGCGGUAACAAGCAAAGAAAUGCAAUACAUAUACAUAUCUGUAAAACAUAAUUUCUUCAAGGAAGACAAAUUCUUAGCAGAAGACCAGGAUGAUGUGGUUGCCACUCGAAUUAUCAUAUAAAAAGAAGCAGAUCUGUCAUCUUCAUUUCAAUACUAUUGUUUUCACCAAGUUAGUUUCCAAACUGAAAGUUAAUUGUACAAUCAAGAAUGAACCACACUGAAUUACAUGAUAUUCUGUUUAAAUUUACCUGCAGCUGGCACCAAUCUCCACGGGGGAAGAAGUGGAAUGGGUUCGGUUUGCAUGUUCAAGCACUUGUCCCAAUAUGCAUCAAAGGUCGUAAAAGCUUGCCCCUUCUCAUCAUAUAUCUCCCAUGGUUCAUAUAACAAAUCGCCAUUAUAGCUUUGCACAGAAAUGCCAAUCUCUGCCAGUUUCUCUUUGAUGCCAUGAUCACGAACCAGUGAAACAGGAUCUGGAGAAGGACAGUACACGUGAAACCAUAUUACAAGACCUCUCAAAGAAAAUGAAUGGAACAAGAACAAAAUCCGGCAGCCAAACUUCUCAUCCAUAAAGGAAUUAUGUACUAAACUAGCUUCUGGGGGUAAAUAAAGAGUUGGUUCCAACUAAAACAAGAAAUUACUUGUGUUUACACAUGUGGAAAUCAACCAAAGCAGGGAAAUGUCAAGGCAUCACACCAGGACAAAGAAGCAAUUAGAUGUGGCAACUCCAGAAAGUAUCCUCUCCUAGGGAAAAGAUGAAAGAGAGGGAAACAAGCACUCUGCCAUGAGAAAUCCAUUACCAUUCUGAGAACACAAAUAAUCCAUGCUUAAAAUUUUCCUUCAACUUCAACGAGCAGUCGUUUUGCCAUGACAAUUGUGCCCCAAAAGGACAAGUAGUCAUUCUUUUUUGCUUCCUUUUGGAUGCAUGCUUGUGUAUUUCACCUUUUAACUCAAAAUAUUAGAUUGCAUUUGGCAAUAGUUUAAUUCUUAGACUCUAUUUUGCAGAUAUAUAAGCAUAACCAUGAUCUCAAGGUAAUUUUAUGAUGACAACUAUGCUUCUUGUUUAUUACUUCCAUCCAAUUUCAUUCUUCAAUGUCUCUGAACUUUUAAGCAACAGUUUUUCUCAAUUAAUUUUUAAACAUUUGAAUAGCUCACGAUUUAAACUAAACUUGUAACUAACUUCUAUGAUCUAUCAAAUUUUCCUUUUAUCUCCAAUGUCUCUGCUUAAUAUUUUCUCCAUUUUCAGGGGAAAAAAAGGAUGGGAAUGGGGACAGGAAAUUAUCUUCCAUGAAGACUAUCAUCAAGCUUCAGCAAGUAAGUUAAUGAUGAUGACAAGAUUGGAAGUCAAUAGGCGAAGCAUAAAUUAUCCAACAGAAGCUUAGAGUUUGAUUGAAGCAACUACAAUCUUGUUAGAAGCAGUAAGCAUGUCUAAUAGAGGCCAUUGCAGUUACAAUUAAUAGGAUUCCAGGGAUACCAAGAAAGAUAUCACAUCAGAAAUUCAAAGUUAAACAUGCUUCACUAAUAUAUAGCAAAUUAAAAUUUGUAUCAGUUUAAAACAGCAGCAUUGAUCAGAGGAAUCAGAAUAUACCAUAAAGAUGGUUAAAUACUACUUUUGUUGCCCCAGUAGCGUUGAUGCAAUCCAAAAGAGCCGAAAGAGUGCUUUGGGUCUUAAUCAGCACAAGUUCAGCCCCAAGAGACCUCAAGGACUGCUCCAAAUGAGCAAGAGAUUGCUUCAGCCACCAUCGUGAAACUCGACCUGGGUAGAACUGCCCUUCCUCUUUAGGGCACCAUAUAAAGACAGGAAAGACACUACCAUUCCUUGCAGCAGCAGCUAAAGCAGGAUUGUCAUCAAUCCUGAGAUCCCUCCUAAACCAGACUAUCGUUUUACUGCUACUCAUGUUGAACUAACAAGAUCUUUCAGAUAAGACUAAAGUGUUUGGAUUCAAAAAGAUAUAAAUAAUCUCUAUGUCUUUCCUUCAAUCCAACACAUGAACAUCAAAAAAGGUGUAAUUUGCACAAACUCCUCCAAGAUGGUUUUAUGCUACAAAGAAACCCAAACUUGAAACAAACUCAGAUUUGCUGAGCACUUAUAAAAUAUCUCAAUAGCAACUCUUGAACCCUAAACUUAGAAAUACUAGGUUUUGGCUAUCACAGUGAAAAUUACUUGUUGCUGCUAUAACCACAACAAACAGACUACACGGCUGUUUGCAACUUCUAUCCUGCUCUUAUGUGUCCAGGAUAUCCAACCGAGUCUUGCUUCAAUUAGGCCUUCCCUACAUGUCUCACCGAUCCACAACUCCACCAAUCAAACACCAGAACCUCUACAAAUUAUCUUCUACUCCAAGAAGUUGAUGCAGACCUCCACCAGAACCAGUAGAAUAGACAAGCGAAAACUCCACAGAGGAAGCAAUAGCCUUGUUGACAACAACCUCUUCAAAUCCAAGAGCACCGUUCUUGAACUUUCCUACACUCUAUAUACAGUGGAAGAUCAGAUUUUGUAUGAGUAAAGAAAACAGAUCCGAGACACCAGAAAGAGAAAUCAGUGAUUCCUUAAUAAUUCAUAUUAAAGAAUGUUAUCCACAAACAAGGACAACUAAAUCUAAAAAUAAAUAUAUAAAAGAUUAACCAGACCUAGUUUUUAUACAAAGUUAAUUGCUGAACUACUUUACCCCAUGUAGCUAGUAGCUAAAAACUCAGCAAAAACAGACAAAAAAUUAUACAGGGUUUGGUAACAAUUAUGAUUGAUGAUAUUUCUUCAUUACUUACAGUACAUUGUACAGUGACAUUCCUUUGAACAAAUGGAACUGGCAACGUCUUUAUGCGAAGAGAGUGGCUUGUGGAUCCUUAUUUGUGUCAAUAUCACGUGGGCUCGUAUAAUAUUGAUAGUGGUGGGUGACAUAUCUUGUCUGCUUUGUGGAUCAACUGUAGCUUCUCAAGAUAAGGUCUUUCUCUGUCUCAUUCAAUUAACACACACCCAGACACCCUCUCUCUCUUUCAGGGCUGUUGAGUAACUCUUCGGUCAAUAACAGUUUCGUCUUUUCCAUACCAGCAAAGGCUCUUUGUUAUAACUGUUAACUGAAGCAUAUGCAUUCAACAUGUUGGGGGUAACUUGCGGCUUCCCAAGUUUGUAACUGGUAUUUCUGGUGAUUUCAUUUAUUCUAUUUAGAAAGAUUUUUGCCUUUUUGUAAGCCUUGCAAUUUGCUUCGGUCUUGCUCUGGGAAAAACAGCUUUUAGUUGAACAGGACCACAAAGUGUGGACCUCAAUUGGGAAAGGGCGAAAAUGAGAGAAGAGCUUAAACACCCAGCAAGUUUUAAGUUAUUAAGCAUUUGGUCCCAUUUUCCUAUCUUCUCGUAGACCUUGAUGAUAUUAGACUUUUUAUCAUUAUCUGCCAUGAUCAUAUGCAGUUGAAACCUAAAAAUCUCCACCUAAAACCUAUCACUUCCGUCACAAUGAGUCCAUGACAUAAAGUAAAAUUUGCAUAUUUUGCAUAACUAAUUGCCUACGACAGUUGCAAUUACUGUCUACAUGUGAUAUGAAUGUUAUCCCCAUUGUAGCACUGCUAAGAAGUCAAAAGUGACCAAAUUCAUCCUAGCAUGCUAGCUUCUUUAUCACGAGGUUUGCAGAAGAUUGAUUUUCCACCGUGACCAAGCGACUUUCGCCCAUCCUUGUGGACUUUAAAGGCAUUACCAGAACGGGAGCCAAUAAAGAAACAAUCUUUCCUGUGUUUGGUAGACUAGUUCUUUUCAACUAUCAGAACUCCAUAAUAAAACAAAGCAUAGCAAACAAAUGCCAGAGGAUCGGUUCAAUCAAAACCAAAAAAUACUGGGCCCCGGUUGUUGAUUUAUUUGAUUCAGUGAUCGUGACUACAGAAAUUAUUUAUACUUUGACAGCCCUAUAAGACUACAAAAAUUUAUCGGAAAAGGCUCCGAUGAACAGGAGGACAAAUGAUUGAAAAACCAUUUCAUUAAUAAGAGUCAAGUAUCCAUAAUCACACCCAUUUUCACCUGAGAAGCAUCAUGGCAAUGAGGAGCCCAAAGUCCCAACAUACCUCAGAUGUUUGAGCCCCGAGCUCCAAAUCAGCCUUCCCAAGGUGUUAUUUAACGUUGACAAAUUCACGAAAUAUGUACUGUGAGAGACAGAUAACCGCACUUAAUUCAGCAACUAACUGAAGCAGGAAACCAUCCUAAAAGCAACUCUAGGGAGUUUCCUAAGCAUGUGAAACCCAUGAACGGGAGUGAAUGCUUAACGUGCACGCUCCCUGAUCACCUCAAGAUCCAUUUCAGUGGGGUCAGUUGCCUGGAUUUCAUAAUGAAUGCCCUCCAGUUCCCUCCUGAACCUGUCCUUCGAUGUUGCGUAAAGCAUCUUGGAACGGAUCCUUGAAACAGAAGGAGACCUGCAGAAGAACAUAAAGUCAGACAUGUAUACAAAAAAACGGAGAUGACAAAUAGAAAAAUGUGCACCAGUUAAUUCACUCUUGUUUUGUCUAACAAUUCUACAAAAAAUUCAACUGUCAACAGCAAGAAAUGAAAACUAAUUUCAUGAUUUUCCCAUCACCGCUUUGCACACUCAACCAAUUUUAAGUUUAUGAACCUUGAUGAGGAAGCAAAGCACAUAUUCUUGGCUCAAUAUUGCAUUACAUAAGCAAGGAAUGCACUGCAAAACAGGACCACAGAUGAAGCACCUUGUAAUCACUCAUAACAUUCUUUGCUUACGGAAGCAUAGAAGCCACCACAAAACCAACUCAACUCCAAAGUUGAAUCUUAUUUAAAUAUAUUACACCUUUUAUUAAUAUAAACUCCCUCUUUCUCAAUGCCAGAAGGAAUGGAAAAAAUAAUUAAGCUUCCAGAUCAGCUUGCCUUCCAGAAAACAAAGGCAAAAUUGCACGAAUCCAGUAGAUAGUAAAAACAAAAGAAAAAUCCAAGACAUCCUAGUUUUCUAAAAGUGUAAAGAACAGGAAAAUCAAAUCCAAAGAUAAUAAACAAAUUUUGUGAACAGCAACUGCAUAGAAGGAAAUCUGACUUGGGGUGAACAAGAACUAAUAUCCAAAGUAAAAAGAUGAUUUGAUUUUUGAUGGAACCUGAGGACAAAAUGUAAUCUCAUAAGAAGAAGUAUUUUUAUAUUCACAAACACAAAAGCAGCAUUGCAAGCAUGACAUCCAUGAAUUCAACCACCACCAAUAUUUGUUCCCCUCUCCAUAUCUUUGCAUGGAGAACAGAGAGUGCAAGUCAAAGGUUUGUACAUUAUUCAUGCAUCAUCAUCAUUUGUAUUUCUAGCAAACCUAACACCAUCUACAAUAACCCCAGUGAGGAACACAGUUCUAAGAAAGUCCUUAGAAAAACCAACAGAAUUCAAAACCUUAGGCUCCACAUAUUAACAAAACAUAAAUGAUCAAAUUUCAACCAAACGAUUAUUGGCAAACAACAAAGCAAUGGAGCUAUACCUAUAUGGAAAGGGGUCAAACAAUUGUAUUAACCAUAAACACCUCCAUUUUCAAUCAAAUUGAACUACACAAGGGGCAAGCAAUGGUAUUGAAGUUUCAGAAGCCAAGCAGAAAAAGAGAGAAAGAGGAGGAAAGAAAGAAUGAGGGUUUUAUAAACUUAUAAUUUAGAUCAGAUUCAGUAAGUUACAAUGCAAAUGUGGCACAAAAUUUUGACAGAAUUGAAUUAUUUUGCAAUUGAAAAAGAUACUGACCAUGCAAUGAAAAAGAUCUUGCUCUUCUGGCAGUUCUCAGAAGUCACAAAAUCAAAGUCAUAAACUGCAUAUCGGCAAUCAUUCUCAGGCAUUGAGGCAGUGAAAUCAUCAUAGCUCUCAGCUGGACCCCCAGUCUUUUCCACUACAACCUCAUUUUUCUUCUCAUCAAUCUUAAAGAUCACAUAUCGGAACACCUUCUUCCUCUGCAGCUCCAUGUAUGUGCUUUUGCUGUGUUCAGCCACUCCCAUGCCAGAUGAUGCAUUUGCCUGAAAACCAGAAACAAAUGUUUGAUGUUUAAUGCUUACUCCAACAAAAAUGGACUAGUGUUAUCUUUCAAUUUUAAAAACCACUACAUUUUUGACAAAGCAGAACAAACUGCCAUCAAUGAACCCUAAAUAACAGGUCCACGAUGCAAAAGUACCUGAUACAACAUGGAAACUUUCACAAAAUUUAACAAUGUUGUAAUAUAAUAUUUUCCAACACAAUCAUAAAUUCUUAACUCCAUGACUAUUCACAGAUGCCAUAUGGAAAUUGUGGCUAAACGAACCAAUCCAACAUAAUUUAAAAGCCUAAUCCAUUGGCAAAAAAAACCAAUCCAACAUAAUUCAAAAGCCUAAUCCUGGUUCCAAUUCCAGGGCCCAUUUAUUUACAGCAAGAUGCAGUUGUAGCAUUACAAUUGGAGACCAAGAUGCACAAAAAAAGGACCAAAAAAGGCAAACUUUUACUUCAACUUAGCUUGGAUAGACCUAGAAAGACACUAUUAUGAGUACAAAAUCAAAAUCCUAUUUUCCUUCAAGCUGUGUUCUUGUGAGUAACUUCACUUCAACUAAGCUCAAUUGGAUAGCAGCAAAGUACCAACCUUGACUUAACACUCACAUCACAUUUUAAUUAAUGAAAUCGUAACAGAAAUCUAAUCUUAUAAUCCAUUUUUUCAAGAACCCAAAAAGGAAAAAAAAUUGAAACAACUACAAUUAAAAAGCUAAGAUCUAGCUAACCACGAAAGAUUCAGUCUUUACACACACACAGACACGAGAAAAGAAAUAACUUACAACAAAAUUGAAAGCUACCCAUAUAAUUAAAACCUUAACUUUGUCUAAGGGUCAACAUGGAAAAAGAAAAAAACAUAUCUUUUUAAGCUAAAACAAAGAGAAUAAAAAGAACCCAAACUAAAUUAGAUCUAAGAGAAUCGAAAGGAAACAAAAAACAGUGACUUACUCUUCUAAAAGCCAUGGCUGCUUCAAAUGAAGAAAUAAAGUGGGUAUUUUUGGAGAGAAGGGGACAAAGAGAGAGUUCUUAUGGAGAGAAAAUAAGGAGAAAAAGCAGCCACCAGAAAGAAGAAAAACUACGAAACUAUUUUGAAUACUUAACAAAAGGAAUUUUAUUUUUCUUUCUGAGAAAAAUAAAAUGAAAAAAAGAAAAAGAAAAAGAUCCGUGUUUUGAGAGGAAAGGGAAGGGGCGCGUCGUGUUCGAUUCUUUUCUGACAAUGACGGGCUUCAUCAUCCUCUUUCGCUGACAUGGCUAUUUUUUAUUGAUCCAUUUUCUGUAGCAGUAAAAAAAUUUGUUUUUUAUAAUUUUUUUAUUGAUUUUCUAUUUUUUGGUAGACAUAAAUUUUUUUUGGUGUAAAAUAUGACCUGAUAAAUAGAUUUUAUUAUUUUUGAAUUUAUAAUAUUUUUAUUUGAAAUUCUAAAGUGUGAUCUUUUUAUCAGGUCAAAUGUUAUAUAAACAAAAAAGAAAAUUAGUGCUUAAUUUUAAUCCCACAAUUAAAAUUUAAUCACCAAGACCAAGACCAAGACUAUUUCACCCAAAAGGAGAUCACUAAAAUUUGUCUUGGCGAAGCAAAGCAAAGACCCACAACCCACGCAUCAAGACAUGUCCUUGUCCACGUCACUAUAUUAUUCCAUGUUUAAAGUUAUAAAGGAAAAAACAAGGACAAAUCCUUGUCCAUGUCACCAUAUUAUCUUUAUAUUACGAGUUGAUACUUUCGAUUUAAAAUAUAUAUUUAUUCAAUAAAAUAUAAUUCGUACUUAUAAAUUCAAAAUCACUUUCUUUCACUCAUAUAAGUGAGGGAUGCACCUUGGUUCGGAUUUAAAUUAAAUAAUUUUUUAUAAAAUUUAUCACGAAUUUACAUUUUUAAUUAAAAAAACAACAUUUUAUUUUAAAAAAUCAUGACUUGAGUGAAAAAUUUAUAACGUGAAAUGAAAUUAUAAGCAAUUAUGAGUAUGAAAAUGAUGGAUUUUUAAUUACAGUUUUUAGCAUUAUACCAGGGAAGAAAAAAAAGUUCUCGAUAUUGAAUUUGAAAAGCCAGCAACAACAAUUGUCAAAAAUAAAAAUCCACUCCCCUUUAAUUGAAUUUGAAAUGGACCCAGCGUGAUGCAGGCCCAAAACCAAAAAUGGCUUUAAUUGGGCCACUUGGCCCAAUUAAACGGAGUUUAAUUCGUUUAGAACAAAGUUUAAAACUUUCUGCCGAGCGGAGCGGAGUUGUUCCGUGCCCUAGCUCGCUUUUUACCAUAGAAUCCGGCGAGUGUGUAUUUUUUUUUUCAAAAUUCCAAAUAGAUUGGAUUCAAAUCGCACGAGAACAUGGAAUCCCGACGUUAAUUGUCGAACAGCAAGUUGUAUUCUUUUUACGAAAAAUGUCGUUAGGGCAGAGAGGUUCGGCGAAUCCAGCGGCCAUGCUUGCUUCUCUCAUGACCAAAAGAGAUAAGCUUCAAGACGACCUUCGCAACAUCGAAAAGCAGGUACCUUUUUUUUCCCCCUUUUAAACGUCGGUGAAGUUUACUUUUUUUUUUUUAUUUUGUGUUUGUAAUGGUAAAGAAGUGACAACUAUGAGGAAUUACCAUUAAAUUGGUCAAUUUAAUUGAUAUUCUUGUUGUAGGUUUACGAGUUAGAGACUAAUUAUUUACAAGAUUCGAGCCAUUUCGGGCAUGUUUUGAAAGGAUUCGAAGGCUUUCUUUCUUCAUCCAAGAACACAGCAAAGUAGCUUUUUUUUACCAUAUUUUGUUUUAUUUACUGCUGGUAAUUUGAUGUCUAAUUUUGUUUUAAGCAUUGAAUUGUUAGCUUGCACAUUUUAAAUAUCUGGCUGUAUGUACUUAAUUAUCUUUAUGAAUCAGAACUUUUUAAAAGAAAUUUUGGGUUUGAUAGCAAAUUAGUGACAAAUUGUUACAUAAGCUCACGUUAUCUUUUUAGUGGAUAGAAUGAACAAAUCAAGUUAUGACACAUCAUUAAAAUUUGCCAUGUCAGCAUCCGUCACAAUAGUUUUUCAUAUUAAUGAAAACUGUGGAUCUGUUUAUGUUGAUGUAAAAAUUUUAGUAAAGUGUCUGUAUUGUAAUUAUUUGUGAACGAAUAAAUGGUGUAGGAGGAAGAGUUUAUAUAGUAUUUCUCCAAAUUAUUGGAUUCUAAGUAGCGCACAAGUGGCAAUCACACCAUACAUUUUGUAUUUAAGUACUGCUGGUAAUUAUGUUAAGUAUUUCAUGUUCGUUUUUUUGUGACGGAAAAUUCAUGUAAAUUUAUUUCUGUAGCUUGAAGAGGUAUAGGAAGUUUCAGCCAGAAGAUAGACUGUUCUCAUUGUCAUCAGUCACGUCACCAGCGGUAUGUGAUAGUAUAAGCUUCAGUAUAUACGCAUAACUAAAUUGUACCACUUUGUAGCGUGUUCUUUUUCUUUUAUUCCUGUUUAUUUUUUCUCACGGAUAGAGGUGACACUUGAUGUGUUUUCAGCUAGAUGGUUAGAGUUAAUAAACAUGGCGAGCAUUUAAUUAGGCUUAAUGUCUCUGUGAUCUUGUUUAUCGGAAUUCAGGUUUCAAAUAAGUUUCCCAACAGAUUAGAUCUCUGAGGAAAUAUUUAGCUACUACUAUAUGUAUUGAGCUUAGAAAGGCUGGCACACUUUAGCUUGACAUUUAAUAUACUGCUAUUUUUAACUGUCAUUCUUACAUAGAAUAAGCUAUUUGAGCUAAAGUGAGUUGACAGGCAGUACUUGGUCUUGUUAACUUCCUGAAUGGCAUCUUCUGGGCCAUCCCAUAUUAGUAUGUGAUGAUAUCAAGUAGUUGCCUGUAGGGUCAUAAGGAGAACUUGUGGCCUAUUUAUCAUAGCAAACAUGCAUGCUGAGAGGGUAAACUGAAAUUCUUUAUUAGGUUUCUUUCAGCUCUUGACUUGAUUAACCUAGAAGCAUUAAGGAGUUUUUUCAAUAAUAUACCCUUUUGAUGAAUGAUAGGGUCUACUUUAUUUCUGCUUCUAUCCAAUUUUGGGAAUCUAUGAUCAUAUUUUGAAUGAGAGCAUUGCACUGAAGCUGACAGAAUUUAAUGUCAGUAGUGGUGAUGCUCACCUUCAGGUCUACUUGUUGCAUAUCUUUUUGAAGAGAAUUUAGGAUGCAUGUUGUCUCAAAAUAAGCCAUUAUUUACAUGAGUUGGUGAAUGGAAUUGUCAUUGUUUAUAAUAAUACUAGUAAGUUGUUAUCUUUAGUGUUAUUUGACUAUUUCUUUAGUCUCACCAUGUUUGUGCAAUUGUGCUGCACCUUCCAUUUGUUUUAGCAGAAAUCAAUAGUACAAAAUGGUCAUGACAAGUCUGUGUCUCAAAAGUACAUGUAAUUGAGAUAGUUAUUCUGAUUCAACAAGACUGGUUUGUUCACUUUGCUUCUUUUUCAGGCUGAAGAACUUGGAGUUCGACAAGAUGGUAAACCUUGUUCAUUAUUUUACUAAUGUUUUCCCUCAUAAAGCUAUUUUUUACAUCCUUUGAUUUUUCAUCCUCUCUGUCGCAGAUGGAAGAUCUGAUUUUGGUCCAGGUCGGUCUAAGGGUGGAGGCUUAGCUGCCAAUGGCCAGUGAGUGUGCUAAUAAUUGUUAUUAUUUGAGUUCUUUAGGCAUUUAAUUUUGAAGAAAAACAAGGAAAUAAAGCAACACGGUCCAGAUUGAGUUGGCUUUACUCAAUCAAGUGAAACUUUUACACAUCAGUUCAUAACAUAGACCUAUUACUUAUUUAAUUUAUAGAGGGAAACCGAAGAAGGGUAGAACUGCCUCAGCAGCAAGAGAUGGAAAGAGAAUCAGGCCAUCAAGUGAACCAGAUUUUGAUGAUGAAGAUGAUCCUGAUAUGGGCUUGAGAUAACUUAAUAAGAACUUGUCAUAUAACUUUAGAUGUAAGUGUAUUCUGUAACAAUAUAGGGGAAUUCUUGAUAUUUAAUCUAGGUGGUCCAGCAUUUAGGUGAUGCUGAAAGCAUCCUCUUUAGGAUGGCUAUAUUGCAUGUGUUAGAAUGUAGUGAAUCCAGAGGUGUCAUGUAUAAUGUAUUGUAUAACUUCCCUCCUUUCUGUAUCUUUUGAUUGUUUCCAUUGUAUUAUGUUCUUUACAUUGACAUUGCCUAGAGUUGUGUAAACUCUGGAAAAAAAAAUCCAGUUAAGCUUCCAAUUACAACAUAGUUCUUGCAAUAUUGUACCCAUCUUCUGGUAUGGCUUGAAAAUAUUGGAGUUGAGGAGCCUUGGCUGGUUCAGGUUGUUGUUUAAGCUGAUAGCACAAUGCUUUACGGCUUCAAUGAAAGCCUAGUUUCUUCCCUGUAUUAAUUGAUAGCUCUUUGGCAGCCGGGAUAUAAAGCAAAACACAAAACAAAUUCAAAGCACACUCGUGGGAAUUGACCUAGCAACUCAAUUCUAGUUCGGGGACAAAAGUUGGGGUCGGAAAUAAGUUAGUUUCUAGGCCAGCCCACUAUCUACGUCUGGGGUUAAACUACUGGACUAGCAGGGCCAUUAUCUUCUUCUUUUGUCUAAUUCUUCUUGGAUUCCAUAAUCCCAUAUGAAUAACUUGGUGUAAAAAGAACAUGAUACAUCAAAAAUAAGUUGGAGGAAUGAAGCUAACCCAUUGUUAACUUAUCUUUAUUUUGUUUACAAUUCUUUGCACCAAGCCCAACCUCGGCAGACAUAGCUUAAACUUGAAAAGAAAAGGGACAUGAAAAGGUCUACGAAAGGCUGCAAUACAAUUCCCAGUCCUGGGACCAUGCCAAGCCUACAGAGAAGAAAAUUCGAAGGAAACAGAAACGUAGUUUGACUGUUUUCCCUAUUCUUUAAUCGAGUAUUUAUUGGGAAACAUGGUGGAGUAAAUACAACUGGCUCGGCGGUCGCUCAUAUGUUUCUAGAUUGAAAAUUUCUUGGAGAAGAAUUGAAGCACAACACCUUUUUGAAUUAAAGAGAGAAUCUACGCUCAUCAUAUUGACCUUAGCCUUCGUGUGCUUUGAUUCAGAAUUCUCAUUCAAGGAAAAAUCUAGAUGUUCAAGUUAAAAUUUUCAACUAUAUCAAGCUUUUAAUUAUUUAGUUUUCGGGGUCUUAUGUUCAGAUCUUCUUAAGCCAAGUUUAUGCAUAAGAGACGAGACUAGUCCGAGAGCAUCAGCUAGCAAAGCACUGGAGAAGAAGGGUUAACAGCACAGCCUCAGAU